RNAcentral lists this long non-coding RNA (49753 nucleotides) under Triticum aestivum (bread wheat). RNAcentral describes it as "long non-coding RNA (TAES_LNC017806)". The record is from RNAcentral. Lineage: Eukaryota; Viridiplantae; Streptophyta; Magnoliopsida; Poales; Poaceae.
UUUUUUUUUCUUUUUUCUGAAGCGCGCUGUAUAAACAGUGACGGAUGGAGUAGUAUGAGCGGAUUCAAAGAAGAGCAUAUUGAUGGUUGCUUCUUCAGAGCAACUUACAGUGGGAAAGGUGGGGCUUAUGAUUUGACUUCUCAUUACUCACUAUUAAUGCGGCGCAACGACCGGGCUGAGUCUCCCAUGCGGUUGUGCACUACCCCCUCGGUUCUUAAAUAUACUCCGGAGUAUUUGUCUUUCUAGAGAUUGCAAUGAGUGACAACUCAAAUAUUUGUCUUUUCAGAGAUUUCAAAUGGACUGGCACAUACGGAUGUAUAUAGACAUAUUUUAGAGUGUAGAUUCACUCAUUUUGCUCCGUAUGUAGUCACUUGUUGAAAUCUCUAGAAAGACGAAUAGAAUAUUUAGGAACGGAGGGAGUACACAUACGAAGCAAAAUGAGUGAAUCUACACUCUAAAAUAUGCCCGUUUGAAAUUUGUAAAAAGACAAAUAUUUAGGAAAGAAGGAGUAUAAUUUUGUGCAUGGCACAUGGACCCGGAUGAUGAAGAGGCUUCUGGCAAUGCUAUCAAGCUUCCAUCAUUUGUUUACAUAAUUGACGUACUAUACAAAUAAUUUUCCAGUGACAUGAAAUUGUACAAUGGUGUGAGCUUUCAGCUUUUGUUUCGCGUGUCUUGCCAUCGAUGCUCUUUCGGAAACAAUAAAAAACUAACUUCCUUGCUAAUGCAUGUCAAUUAUUAGCAGAUCAGAGCUAAUAAUUACAUCUCAACUGAAGACAGAGUUGUGAGAAGGUGUUAAAUUAAAAUUGAUCCAUGCUUUCAUUGGCAGCAACGUCCCCCCAGCUCUGUCUAAAUCAACAAGGCAUGUUGGGAAAAAAAGUAGCUGUCUAGAGCAUGCAACAUUCCGAUCAUUUUGUGCAGUUCCACUAAAAUAGAGCUGAGCGUCCCUGUUCCAAAUCGGGACGUGCUGCCUCGGCGCCGUCAAACGGAGAAAUGAUGCACUUCAUCCCUUUCCCCCGGCGGACGGGAUGCAGCCGGAUCAGUGACCAACGGUGAGAGAGAGAGAGGCCACCACACUCCCUUUCCCCUGGCGGACGGGAUGCGGCCGGAUCAGUGACCAACGGUGAGAGAGAGAGAGGCCACCACAACCUUGUGUGAGAUACUCUGAAGAGCGACAAACCAGGCAGGCAGGCUCCAUUGUAUAUAGUGAGCGGACUACCUUUUUCUCCAUAAAAAUCGUUUUAUAUUCUGUGUACGUGCCAUUGAGCGCUAUAACUUUAUUUAAAAAUAACGCGGCAACGCAUCAAGUCGAACUUUGUUUCAUGCACGCGUGGUACACGACCUCCCUAGGUAAACAACCGCUACAGGCGUUCAAAUUAUCACGUGGGCUGCCAUUUCGUAAAGAAAUGAGCUCCACCGUGUACCCGCGCGGGUGUGGCUGGGCACGAAGCGUGAGUACGUGCAUGGUGCACCUAUUCUCUUCUUGUAUAUGUACACCACCUACGUGGGGUUGUGUGAGAGAGAUACAAACCUAGAGAGAUAUAGUGUGUGGGUUCUNNNNNNNNNNNNNNNNNNNNNNNNNNNNNNNNNNNNNNNNNNNNNNNNNNNNNNNNNNNNNNNNNNNNNNNNNNNNNNNNNNNNNNNNNNNNNNNNNNNNNNNNNNNNNNNNNNNNNNNNNNNNNNNGCGCGCGCGAUCGAUAAAGAGUGCCAUCGAAUUUGUGUGUGCCCACGUCAAAGAUAUAGAGUGGCUGGCCUACUGGAACGUGAGAUGGGACAUGUGCAGUUUGUCUCUGUGGCAUGGAUACCUACCUGCAGCGCUCGACUAUCGGUGUGUGGUGGGGGAAGAGGGAGGCCCAAUUAACUAUAGAGGUACAAUGGCUGGUAUAUGUGUGGAGGAGGAGAGAGGCCUACCUCAUGUAUUAAGGAGAUCGAUUUGCCUCAUGUAUUAAGGGAGAUCGAUCGGCAUCCAUGCAUAUGUGCAGGAGAGGAAUAAGGUUGGGAGAGAGACAGAGCUAGAGUGUUGGAGGGGGUGGUAGUGGAGUUGCUUCUAACAAAUGGUGGGAUAGGCUUGCUAGACAAACGGAGGGCACGCCCGCAAUAUCAAUAAGAGAGGAGAUGGCUGCUUGUUGUCUGUGCACGUGCGUGUGAGAGACGGGUCAGGAGGCAUGCACGAAUAAUGAGGGGGGACGAUGUGGCUAUGGUAAGCAGACGUAACUACAUAGGAAGAUCAAUCGCCCUUUGUUAGAGAAAGGGGAGACAUAACUUGUGAGGUACGUCGAUCGAUGGGGGGGUAGUUAAAGUCGAUCUAGGUAUAUGUUGGGAGAUCGAUCGGUAUACAUGCAUGUGUGUGUUAGAAGCAAAUGAGGCACGAGGAGAAGGAUAGAGAAAGAGGGAUGCAUGUAGGAGGUGGUACGAGAGGCAUACUAUAUCGAGGGGGAGGAGUGUGCGAGUACGAGAACGAUGAAAAGAGUGGUGGGAGUGAGGCAUGGACGGUGACAAGGGAAGAGGGGAAGCUUGUGUUUGUGCUAGGCACACCUGGCUAGAGAGGCAUAUCGAUCGAUGUGUGCCGUAAAGAAGGAGCUGGGGGGCCUACACACACCGUGGGUGAAAGACCUAAAGUGAAAAGACGAAUUUGCGUGAUGGAGCUAGAGAAUGCUGAGGGAGGGUGAGAGGGAUGCGGGCGUGUGCAUGCACAAGAGAAAGUUAGCGCUAGCUACAAAGAUAAGAGGGUUGUGUGGGUGUAAAAGACGAAUAGAGAUCAUAUAUACUUCACUAUAAAAAGUGAAUUCGGAUAUUUGAAGAAUUUAUCAUAGUGUUUCAAAUCGACGCAUGUGUGAAUAUAUAUAACGGUGAUACACAUGGUGUGGUUAUGAACAUGUUAUACUACAUUUAAUAUAUUUUAUCUCUACUCUUAUGAAAAAACGGAGUUGUUGAUGAUGGUGUGCCUGCCAUCCUGCAUUAUAGGCCGUCUGAUUUAUAUCUGGCGGAUAGCAAGGAAACUAUGAUGGUUGAAGUUGGCAACAAUCAUGAUUGUAGAUUCUUAUUGAAAUAGAGAAACGAAUUCAAAUUUACUUCGAAUUGCAGCGGUAGUAUAGACAUUUGGAAUGCACUAAAAUGUUGGUAUGAGUAGGUUACAUGCAUUAUACAGCAAGCGAAAAAAAUUAAUCAAACAUAACAUGGAUUCAUACUCCCUCCUUCCAUCUAUAUAGGGCGUAAUGAGAUUUUUAAGACCGCCUUUGACUAUUGACAAGAUUAAUAGUACAUGACAUGCACAAUGUGAAAAUUAUAUCAUUGAAAGAACCUUUCACAGACGAAUUUAACGGUGUGCUUUGUGUAAGUUGCAUGUCAUAUAUCAUUUCUCUAAUAUUUGGUCAAAAUUAGCAUCGAAAAACGCAUUAGGCCCUAUAUAGAUGGAAGGAGGGAGUAGCUUUGAAUAGCAUUUGUAUAGUAAAACGGGGCAAGACUCUCUCUUUGUGUGGUGUGAAUAGUUUUCUCUUUGGUUGAGGGAAGUGCGAAUUGAUUUGGUAUGUACAAGUACAAUAUUACUACACGUUAGGCUUGUCCCUAAAAUUCAACCCGCAUCUUGUUAUAUCCCGAAAAUUCAGAUAUCGUGCUCCCAAAACUGGCGCCUUCACAACCCGCGCCUUGCUAUCCCGAAAUUACAACGCGCGCCAAAACUCCCUCUAGCUGCCAAAUCCCGACACGCGAAAUCCCCCUUCUAACCCUGAGCCCAAAGGGCCGCUAGUUCAAAUCGAUGGGGGGUACUUUUGUAACACACCCUACAUUUUGGACAAGCGCGUCCCUAAGUCAUGCUUCACCCCCUCCCAUCGCCCCCUUUUCGCCAUUCGAAAUCCCAGGCCGCCAUAACCUCUCCGCUCCAGCUGCGAAACCCCACCCUCCUCCGUCCGCCACGUCACCUCUGCCCAGCCGGAGCCUCUUCCCCGACGACAUCGUCCACCGCAACAGCUCGACGUCCCUCGUCCACCUCCCCGAAUGAGGAUCCGUCGUCCAUCUCGCCGUCCCGCCGGUUCAGCCGCCCUGUCCUCCACCUCCAAGGAGCUGCUCCGACGAUCGCCUUGUCUAUCGCGGCUGCUCCAUCCCCACAGCGCCGCCUUAACCUGCUCCACCGGAACCGCAGCAUCCUCACUGACUCCUCGGACGAAGCCGAGGCCUACUCGGCGCCACCAAAGAGGUUGUACACUCAUCACAUCGCACCUUCUCCUUAACUCGACCUCCCGGCGCCGACGGUGCUCCAUCCCGCACCCCAUGGAGCGGCUACCUUGAAGCCGGUGCCGCGGGCGACAUCUCCACGGCGGCUCUCCCCCAGUGCGAGGCCCCUUCGGCGGCGGCGUCCAUACCAGCCGGAUCUGCUGCUGCUGCUCUGGCUCUCACUCGCUCGCUCGCGCUGCUGCAGUUGCUCCGGCUCUCACUCGAUCGCUCGCUCGCCCAGUUGUUGCUACUGCUCUCCCCCUUGCCCAUGCUGCUGCUCUGCUCCGAUUAAGCCACACUUCAGUCGACUGAAUCAACUUUUGGGUUAGUCGAUUUUCAGGGGUUGGGGGGCUCGUCGGAGUUAAGGAAGAACCACCCGCAGUGGGGACGGGGGCUCGCCGGAGAGGUACCGCACUAUCUAUCUUAGGGUUCAGGGUGGGGGCGGGGGGCCUAGAGGGCUGGCCGGGGCGAGUUGUUUCGGGGCGGCGAGGCGGCGCUGGGGCUGGCGGUUCGGCCGGUGGUGGCUGGCGGCUCAGGGGGGUACAGGUUGAAGAUGAACUGCAGGCCCUCCCUAAACUACAUGUCAAGUGCCUCUCUGCUACCAUUGCGUUCAGUUUCGACAGUAGCAUUCAGAUUCCACAGUAAGUUUCAGUUUUGACAGUUAAGUUCAGAGUCAACAGUUUUUACCUCAUCUGUUGUAGUCAGGUGGUUUUUGGUGAUGUUAAUUUUACAUCCAUUUUACAUCAUCUAUUGGAGAUGCUAUUAGAAUCCCACUUGAGAUUGACGAUGUCUGUCUUGUGCUGCUUCAGCCUUGACGUCAUACGGCUCACCGGAGCUGCUCCAACGACAGAAUGAUCCAUCACAACAGAGCAGUGCCCUGGACGCCGUCUACAGAUUCCUCAGAUCUUCCUCCACACCUCCGACAGCCACCUCUGCCUCAACUGCUUCAGCGACCAACCCAAUGAUGCUGAGGUCGACACGGCUACGACAAAGAGGUUGUACACUUGUUGCAUCACUUAUUACUAUACAUUCACGUCGAUCCAUUCGGGCUAUUUUGGUUCAACAAAAAAACGUCGAUCUUCCACUGGUUGUUACCAUCGCUCUAAAUUUCUGCAUGCUCUCCUUACAUAAUCUCACCAUAUUUUUUUCGUAUGCAUGUCAGAUAUUGUACACAGUCAUGCUGAACAUGUAGAGAAAAAGAGAAGAGUUUUGCACGGCAAUACAAUGUCAUGCAGACAUCGCUCCAUAGUGGGUUCAAUGGCAAACCCUCCCCACCCCUCUCCAGAUUGUAAUCCAGAGGAAUAUAUCUGUUCUGAGGCGGAUUCAGACGCCGCUGACCACUCCUAUUUACCCCCCAAGGUGUUUGCUCUACCUUGGCAUGAUGAUGUUAGUCAUAUCAUGCAUAUGUUGCCUUGCAGUGCCUACUUUUGACAUCAUAUAUGUCAUCUGCUUAGGUUUAGACAUGUUCUGUAAUGCCACCUGUUUAGUUUCUAUAUCAUAUAUGGGAAUUAUGCAAUCUCAUGUCUUUUAGCCAGCCAUAAUAUAUGUGAAAUGUGCAAUGCCAUCCUGUUUAACCAGGCAUCAUAUAUUUGAAUGAUAUCUUGCCCAUCCUUUUCUUCAUUACAUUUCCAUUUGUCGACCAUGUUUGUACAUUAAACUACUCUUUCUGUGAAUCAGCCAUUUGGGUGGGAGAUGGAAAAAUCUGGAGUGAAAACAAGGCCUUCAGAGCAGACAGUGCUACCUGUCGAAGCAGAUCUCUUGUUGGGUCCCGAUAGCUCCUCAGAGAUGGAGAGACAGAUGACCAGUCCUAUUCCCCAACUGAGGUGUAUGCUCUAACUUGGCAUGGUUAUACUGCUCAUAUCAUGCAUACGGUGUCUUGCAUUGCAUAGUUUAGACAUCAUAUACACAAUAUUCAACACCAUGUUCUUAGUUCAGACAUCACAUCGAAUGCCCUCUGUUUAGCAUAUAUAUCACAUAUGUAAAUUAAAUGAUGCGAUCCUGAUUACUUAGAUAACAUGUAGGUGAAUUAUGUCAUGCGAUCCUAUUUAGUUAUUCAUCAUAUCUUUGAAUUAUGUUAUGCUAUGCUAUCCAGUUUAGAUAGACAUCAUAUAUGUGAAAUUAUGUCAUGCUAUCCGUUUUAGUUAAACAAUAUACAUGUCAACUAUUUCAUGCCCUCUUUUUUCCACACUAUCUAUUGCAUCUGUCUCUCAUACAAUGUCUGUACAUUCAACUAUGUUUCCUGUUUAUCAGCCAUUUGAAUUGGAGCGGGUGAUGCCAGUAUCUAGCGGACUUAAAACACGGUCUUCAAAUAAUACAUAAUACAGUGCUACCUCUUGGUGGAGAUAGCACCCCGGUUGUACAUGCACAAGAACCAGCCCUACCACACAUAACCCAAACUCUCGCAGAUUGUACCCCUACUACGAUGGACAGAGAACCAGCUUCACCCAAUCUAACCCCAACCCCAGCCGAUAGUAACCCAGUUCCUGUUGACACAACACCAUCUCCACCACAGAGCUCCCAAACAAGAGCAGUUAGUAAGGCAGCUCCAGUGCCCAAAGGGCCAGUACUAUCACGGCGAACCCCAACUCCACCAGUUAGUACGCCUAUUCCGGUGGAGGAAGCACAACCAGCUAGUCGUAGUUUAGCAUCUAUCGCAUUUGAUGUUGUUAAAUCGUAUGUGCGUAUCUUCCCAUCUUGGAAAUAUCAUACUGAAGAUGAAGGAAAAUGCCAGUUGCAGGUGUUUGUCCAGGAGUUAUGUGUAAGUAAUGUUAUUCAUGGCAAUUACUUUGCUUCGUCCCAUACAUCCUACCUCCAUGAUGGUUAUAAUACAGCAAAUUUUCCCAUUUUUCUCUAUAGAGAAGGACCGAUUUGGAAACUCGGGAUGAGGUAACCUGUGUUAAUACCUCUGCUAUCUUCAAGAAUGCUUGGUGGCAGUAUCGGAAUUACCUGAAGAAAACGUACUUCACCGGCAAAGAAACUCAUCAAAUUCCCUUACGUUCUCGUGAGACACAUUUACUGGACGAUGACUGGGAACGCCUUGUUCUGUACUGGUCCUGAACCAAGAAUGUGGUAAGGUCUAUGAGCUCAUUUUCUAUUUUUAAAUAUUAUAUUCUUGCGUCUUACUGUACUCUGUUCAUGUAGAACAAGUGCCUAAACCUGAAGAACAACUGUUCUAAUUUAAGAUUCCAUUGCUAUCAUAGUUCAAAAAAGCGCUAGGCGUUAAUUGUGCGUUUUGCCACCGCCUUGCGCUUUAAUGACCAAAGCGCAUGCUUAUGCGCAGUUAUGCACAGAUUAUGCGUAGUUAUGCGCAAUGCGUUUUGCCAAUGCCUAGAGCCUAGGCGCGCUUAAGCGCUCGCUUAGGCGCGCCUUUUUUUAACUAUGAUUGCUUUGCUCUUGUAUCACUGUAUUUACUCAUACAAACUUACUUUUAAAUUGAAGGAUCCAAUCGAAACUCCAAUGGCACAGCAGGUAUGUUCACGCAUGUUUCUUUAACAGGUUUGCUCUUAUCAAUAGCUCUGUUGAUUUCAAUUUCAAUUGUGUAUACAGUUGAAUUUCAUAUCAUGCACAUUACUAGCAUCACAACAGAGCCAAUAGUGUUGUUGUACAUGUAGACCCAUGGUACCCAUCUGAAAUCUUGUUGUGCCGUGUAGUUUCCCACGCAUUCUUUCACUGCUGCUUUGUCUUGAAUCGAUAUGAUUUGAACCGUGUCUCUAUUUUGAUUUGGCAAGACAAUGCAGUGACCAUAGGACAUAGAUAUAUGUUUGUUUGAUGCUUUUAUUAUGUACUAGUACUUGGCAAUAGAAGACUUGGUAGUUUAAUCCUUCCACCUUACUAAUGAACUGGUUCACCGAAAUGAGUUUCAUAUACUAGUACAUGCUAAACUUGUUAUGUGUCUGCUUGUUUCUUCUUUUAGAAUGCUGACAGAAUAUUGGGGAAGAGUGCCUUAUUAAGCAAUGGUAAAGGAAGUAAUGCAGAUAAGGUUCAGGAUAGUGACACAUCCUUGUUGGUCUCCAACAAAGCUGAUAAAACAACUAAGGAAGACUAUCUUGAAGACAGCGAGACAACCCCAAAGUCCUGUCUUGGUUUAGUGUUCGAGUUACUGGCCACUACCGCUUGCACAAGCUAUUCAAACUCACUGUCUGAAUCAGUUCGGUUUCUUGAGUCUCAACUACAAGCUGAAAGACAUCGAUCAGCUGUGCUGUGACAAGAAGCGGAAGGACUACGGAAGUCCCUGGAGCAUUCAGAUGCAUACUUUCUGGUGCAACAGCAAGCGUUGGAGGAUUUUAGCGCCAAACAGGACAAAGCUAAUCAGCUUGCUAAGCUUAUUGCCAGCAUGGUGGAUACCCAGGAUAACGUUUCUUGAGAUCUUCUAAAGUUGUUUCAGUUAUGCUCUUGUUUUGCUGCCGCGUUUAUUUGCACUGGUGGCCAAUUUUGACGGCCAGUGUAUGUAAUGUGCUACUUUGUUCCCUAUAUUUGCACUGGUGGCGAACUUUGAUGCCCAGUGGAUGUAAUAUGUGUAAUAGCGGUAAUAGGCUAGCGUUAAUUGCUUGCUUAUUUAUUUCCUUAUUGUCUUGUUUAGUUGUUUGCUUGUAGUCACUGCAGUUCUUUUUCUGUUUUUUCUAGUGGCCACAAUAGCCUAUUUUUGGUAACUAGGCCAAAAUAAUCAUGGCAACACACGGACUGUUGUAACCAUGGGCCUCCUGCAGGCUGUGAUCCAUGGGCCUUCGUCCGGCCGUAGGAUCCAUCGGCCUUCUAUACGGGCCUUAGGGUCCAUGGGCCUUCUACGGGCCGUAGGGUCCAUGGGCCUUCUACGGGCCGUACGAUCCAUGGGCCUUCUACGGGCCGUACUAUCCAUGGGCCUCAUACGGGCCGUAGGAUCCAUGGGCCUUCUACGGGGCGUAUCAUCAUUUCACCAAUCAUGGGUCGUACUAUUCAUGGACCAUAACGGGCCGUUAAUAGGCCGUAUUUGAUAACUCUAUGAAAAUAGCCCAACGGGUUUUUUGACAUGAAAACGGCCCAACGUAUUAACGGUUCGCAAACGGGCCGACUGUAACGACGGGCUGAAUUUGGCCCACAAGCAGAAAAUGACAGUAACGGGCCAUAUGUAACCGAAUGCUGCAAAUGAGGCCAAGAAUCAAUGGGCCAUGAGAAGGCCGAAAGAUAACUUGGGCUGGAAACGGCCCAAUGGAAUAACGGGCCGUUAAUGGGUAUAAAGUGAUACACUGUUCAUUACGGGCCAGUUUCACCACGGGCCGUUAAUGGGCCAAGAGUUACAAAGGUCCUCAUAUGGGCUGAAAGAAGUCAUGGGCCACACAUGGGCCGGAAGUUAAUACGGGCUGAAUCAUAUUGGACGGCCCAGAUGACGCUACUGGGCCUAAUUCGGAUAGGGCGUAACGGGCCCUGGGUUAGCGGGCUGUAAAUGGGCUAUAUGCGAACAGGCCGUUAACAGGCUUUCCGUGGGCCGGCCUGCCACCUUUUGACCAAGUCAAACGGGCCGACCUUUUCACAGGAAUGGGCCUCUGUUGGGCCAUGCCACGUGUCGCCGUAUCAUAGGCGCCUUCGGUCCAAUGAGCAGAUGACAUCUGUCCCAACGGUGAGCCAACACGUGUUUCCUCCAGCCAAUGAUGAUUUUACACGUGGAAAAUCCCCAUUGGUCGGGGCUGUUAACGGGUUAUCGGAUCCAAAACCCGACCCGAUAGCUUACCGACGUUCCGUUACGGUGGAUGCCACGUGUCGGUCACCCUUGACGAAAGCACUUCUGUGACGCGCGAUUUAUCGUCAUGGAAGUGGACACUUCCGUGAUGAUAAUUUUGGUAAUGUCAUGGAACACUUCUACGACAGCACAGGUAUGACUAUCUUGAUUCUGUCAUAAAUUUGUCAUGGAUGUACAUGCAUGACAAAAAGCGCGACCUACUGUGACAAACACGUAUCAUCACGGAAGUGUAUUUUUUUUGUAGUGCGAGUUCUUGGUAUUUGAUCCGAGUCUGGCCAUUGGCCUAUACACACUAACCAACUAGGCGGGAACAGUUAUGGGCACUCGACGUCGUGGUAUCAGCCGAAGCCUUCUUGACGUCAGCGACCGAGCGGCGCGCGCCGGGUUGGACCGCGUAACGCAACUUCCUUUGUAAUGGAGGUUGCUAGGUCUGCUCACCGGCCGCCCACGCAACAUGCAGGUGUGCAAUGUGCGACGGGCCCAGCCCCUGCGCCACAGGAUUUAGACCGGCGUGCUGACCUCUCUGUUGUGCCUAGGUGGGGCUGCGACGUGUUGAUCUUCCGAGGCCGGGCAUGACCCAGGAAAGUGUGUCCGGCCAAAGGGGAUCGAGCGUGUUGGGUUAUGUGGUGCACCCCUGCAGGGAAGUUUAUCUAUUCGAAUAGCCGUGUCCCUCGGUAAAAGGAUGACCCGGAGUUGUACCUUGACCUUAUGACAACUAGAGCCGGAUACUUAAUAAACACACCCUUCCAAGUGCCAGAUACAACCCGGUGAUCGCUCUCUCACAGGUCGACGAGGAGAGGAUUGUCAGGUAGGAUUAUGCUAUGCGAUGCUACUUGGUGAACUUACCAUCUACUCUCUUCUACAUGCUGCAAGAUGGAGGUUGCCAGAAGCGUAGUCUUCGAUAGGAUUAGCUAUCCCCCUCUUAUUCUGGCAUUCUGCAGUUCAGUCCACCGAUAUUGCCCCUUUACACAGAUACCCAUGCAUAUGUAGUGUAGAUCCUUGCUUGCGAGUACUUUGGAUGAGUACUCACGGUUGCCUUUCUCCCUCUUUUCCCCUUUCCAUUCUACCUGGUUGUCGCAACCAGACGCUGGAGCCCAAGAGCCAGACGCCACCGUCGACGACGACUCCUACUACACCGGAGGUGCCUACUACUACGUGCAGGCCGCUGACGACGACCAGGAGUAGUUUAGGAGGAUCCCAGGCAGGAGGCCUGCGCCUCUUUCGAUCUGUAUCCCAGUUUGUGCUAUCCUUCUUAAGGCACACUUGUUUACUAAUGUCUGUACAUAGAUAUUGUUGCUUCCGCUGACUCGUCUAUGAUCGAGCACUUGUAUUUGAGCCCUCGAGGCCCCUGGCUUGUAUUAUGAUGCUUGUAUGACUUAUUUUACUUUUAGAGUUGUGUUGUGAUAUCUUCCCGUGAGUCCCUGAUCUUGAUAGUACACAUUUGCGUGUAUGAUUAGUGUACGAUUGAAUCGGGGGCGUCACAAUAUGGCUCCAGAUAGUUGACUUGCGGACGGAAUGGGGCUGUUGGCUUGCCGUUCUUGGGACACUAUCUGGCGUAAUGUCCGGUUUGCCCACAACUGAAACAUGAAUUGUUGCGCUGACAAUCUUCACGUAUCGGGCUGGUCACGAUAUUCUUGACUUGAGUGGUGGUCUUGUUGACAUUUUGCUGCCAGUUGGGUUUGUACUCAACCUGAGUCUGUUGCCACGUACGAGCCUUCUGCACGGGUUGCAUAUCCUUCUUAGGCUCUAAUUUGCGCUUGUGGUAAUUAUUAGCUGGCCUGUUGUCGUGCAUGAGCUUGUGUUCCCGUUCUGCGAUGAGAGUCUUGUUCACCAAAGUUUGGAAGUCCGGAAAAUCAAACAUGCUGAGAGUGCACCUGAGAUGCUGAUUCAGUCCUCCAAGAAAUCUGUCGACCUUCCGUUCUUCGGUGGCCACAUCAUAGAGGGAAUAGCGGGCCAAAUGGUUGAAUUUAUUCAGGUACUCACUGACUGACAUGCUUCCCUGAGUGAGAGAGAGGAAUUCGCGUUGCUUGAUUUUCAUAAUUCCGGAGGGAAUAUGGUACUUGCGGAAAUGAUCCUUGAAUUUAGUCCAAGUAAUUUCCUCGUCCGCGGGCCACAUGGCCUUAGCAUUAUCCCACCAUACUGCGGCAGCUCCUUCAAGAUAAUGCGUUGCGGAAGGAACCUUGUCUCCUUCUUCAGUGCGAGCAAUUUCCAGUUUCUUCUCAAUAGUCCUUAACCAAUCAUCAGCGUCCAAUGGAUCAAUAACUUGACUGAAACUGGGAGGUUUGGUUCGCUGAAAAUCUGACAGCUUGGAGUAAUGACCAUUCUGAUGUCCAUUCUGCCCAACCAUAACUUGCACACUUUUCAGUAGUUCCAUUAGAUUGUUGUUCCUUCUUUCUUCAAACAUUCACAUGAUUUGCUCAGUAGAAGGCGGAUGUGGCGGUGGAGGCGGAGGUGGCUGAUACGGCUUGGGGGAAUGUCCUGCAUGUCUUGCGGAGCGACGAACAGGGACAUCCUCACAAGCUUGGCUGCUCUUGCCUCCCCGUGGCAUCCUAUUAUUUAUUUUCCCAAUGCAAAGCAACCGCGAUGAGAAAUAUCCAAAAAUGGGAGGAAGGCCAGUGACAAAACCAGAAGAAAACAGCGAAAGAAACCAAUGCAAAUAAAAGACAGUUCCAACAUAAUUAUACAUAGACUCAACAUGAAAGUUAAACAUCAUGACAAGGUCACUACCCUCAUACAUGAAACUAAGCAUCAUAACACGUGCGUCUACAUCCAUACAUCAUACUCAUGCCAAUGAAGAUACUCUAGCGAUCUACUGCUCGGAUGGUGCUGCUGCGGGCUCCUCUCCUGAGCCGGACCCAGAUCCUGAACUGAUAGUGGUGACUUCCGGGUUAAGAGAGACGUGACGACGCUGCCUCGAGGACUCUCCCUUAGGGGCAGGUGCGGGAUGGGAUCUAAGCAUAGGAGCUACAGCAGUAGCGACAAGGGAAGCCCACGUAGCAGGAGCACUGCGAGGGGUUACUGCCAAAGGGGUAGUGGUACUCUGAGUGGUGGCAGAGGCUGGAGGAACGUAUGGAGUGAAACCGACAAUAGGGAGAGGGUUCCUAUUUCGAGCAGCGGCGAGAGCUAUCCAGGCACGAGUUAGCUCCCGAGCUAGCUCGUAGUUCAGGAGAUAAGUGGCAGUGAUCUAAUGGGAAAGGUGGCUAGCAGGACGAUCCCACGCCGGAUUAAUCAAAGGAAAGCGGAUACGUCCAUUCUCGUGCAGAGAUGGGUAGUAAAAGAAACCUGGGUGGGUGUGCAUGCGAACCUCGUUGUAGCACAAGUCUACAAGAGCAUCGAUUGCAGCAAACUGGACCGCCUGAGACGGCGUAGAAGCGAGACCACCCUUAGUAGAAUGUGUUGGAAAUAUGCCCUAGAGGCAAUAAUAAAAUGGUUAUUAUUGUAUUUACUUGUUCAUGAUAAUUGUCUGUUGUUCAUGCUAUAAUUGUAUUAACUGGAAACCGUAAUACAUGUGUGAAUACAUAGACCACAACAUGUCCCUAGUAAGCCUCUAGUUGACUAGCUCGUUGAUCAAUAGAUGGUUAUGGUUUCCUGACCAUGGACAUUGGAUGUCAUUGAUAACGGGAUCACAUCAUUAGGAGAAUGAUGUGAUGGACAAGACCCAAUCCUAAGCAUAGCACAAGAUCGUGUAGUUCGUUUGCUAGAGCUUUUCUAAUGUUAAGUAUCAUUUCCUUAGACCAUGAGAUUGUGCAACUCCCGGAUACCAUAGGAGUGCUUUGGGUGUGCCAAACGUCACAACGUAACUGGGUGGCUAUAAAGGUGCACUAUGGGUAUCUCCGAAAGUGUCUGUUGGGUUGGCACGAAUGGAGACUGGGAUUUGUCACUCCGUAUGACGGAGAGGUAUCUCUGGGCCCACUCGGUAAUGCAUCAUCAUAAUGAGCUCAAUGUGACCAAGUGUUUGGUCACGGGAUCAUGCAUUACGGUACGACUAAAGUGACUUGCCGGUAACGAGAUUGAACAAGGUAUUGGGAUACCGACGAUGAAUCUCGGGCAAGUAAUGUACCGAUUGACAAAGGGAAUUGUAUACGGGAUUGAUUGAAUCCUUGACAUCGUGGUUCAUCUAAUGAGAUCAUCGUGGAACAUGUGGGAGCCAACAUGGGUAUCCAGAUCCCGCUGUUGGUUAUUGACCGGAGAGUCGUCUCGGUCAUGUCUGCAUGUCUCCCGAACCCGUAGGGUCUACACACUUAAGGUUCGGUGACGCUAGAGUUGUAGAGAUAUUAGUAUGCGGUUAACCGAAAGUUGUUCGGAGUCCCGGAUGAGAUCCCGGACGUCACGAGGAGUUCCGGAAUGGUCCGGAGGUAAAGAUUUAUAUAUGGGAAGUCCCAUUUUGGCCACCGGAAAAUGUUCGGGAUUUUUCGGUAUUGUACCGGGAAGGUUCUAGAAGGUUCCGAAGUGGGGCCCACCUGCAUGGGGGACCCACAUGAACGUGGGUAGUGGGGGCAAGGCCCCACACCCCUGGUCAAGGCGCACCAAGAUCCUACCUUAGAAGGAAUAAGAUCAUAUCCCGAAGGGAUAAGAUCAAGAUCCCUAAAGAAGGGGGAUAACAAUCGGUGGGGAAGGGAAAUGAUGGGAUUUCUUUCCCCCACCUUUGCCAACGCCCCAAUGGACUUGGAGGGCAAGAAACCAGCCCCCUCCACCCCUAUAUAUAGUGGGGAGGCACAUGGGAGCAGCACCCCAAGCCCUGGCGCCUCCCUUCCUCCCGUGACACCUCUUCCUCCCCGCUUGCGCUUGGCGAAGCCCUGCCGGGAUCCCGCUACUUCCACCACCAUGCCGUCGUGCUGCUGGAUCUCCAUCAACUUCUCCUCCCCCCUUGCUGGAUCUAGAAGGAGGAGACGUCCCUGCUCCGUACGUGUGUUGAACGCGGAGGUGCCGUCCCUUCAGCGCUAGGAUCAUCGGUGAUUUGGAUCACGACGAGUACGACUCCAUCAACCCCGUUCUCUUGAACGCUUCCGCUCACGAUCUACAAGGGUAUGUAGAUGCACUCCUCCCCUCUCGUUGCUAGCAUCUCCUAGAUUGAUCUUGGUGACACGUAGGAAAAUUUUGAAUUUCUGCUACGUUCCCCAAAGUGGUAUCAGAGCCAGGUCUAUGCGUAGAUUCUAUGCACGAGUAGAACACAAAGUAGUUGUGGGCGAUGAUUUGUUCAAUUUGCUUGCCAUUACUAGUCUUAUCUUGAUUCGGCGGCAUUGUGGGAUGAAGCGGCCCGGACCGACCUUACACGUACUCUUACGUGAGACAGGUUCCACCGACUGACAUGCACUUGAUGCAUAAGGUGGCUAGCGGGUGUCUGUCUCUCCCACUUUAGUCGGAUCGGAUUCGAUGAAGAGGGUCCUUAUGAAGGGUAAAUAGCAAUUGGCAUAUCACCGUUGUGGCUUUUGCGUAGGUAAGAAACGUUCUUGCUAGAAACCCAUAGCAGCCACGUAAAACAUGCAACAACAAUUAGAGGACGUCUAACUUGUUUUUGCAGGGUAUGCUAUGUGAUGUGAUAUGGCCAAAAGGAUGUGAUGAAUGAUAUAUGUGAUGUAUGAGAUUGAUCAUGUUCUUGUAAUAGGAAUCACGACUUGCAUGUCGAUGAGUAUGACAACCGGCAGGAGCCAUAGGAGUUGUCUUAAUUUAUUGUAUGACUUGCGUGUCAAUGAAAAACGCCAUGUAAUUACUUUACUUUAUUGCUAACCGUUAGCCAUAGUAGUAGAAGUAAUAGUUGGUGAGACAACUUCAUGAAGACACGAUGAUGGAGAUCAUGAUGAUGGAGAUGAUGGUGUCAUGCCGGUGACGAAGGUGAUCAUGCCGCGCCUCGAAGAUGGAGAUCAAAAGGAGCAAGAUGAUAUUGGCCAUAUCAUGUCACUUUAUGAUUUGCAUGUGAUGUUUGUCAUGUUUACAUCUUAUUUGCUUAGAACGACGGUAGCAUAAAUAAGAUGAUCCCUCACUAAAAUUUCAAGAGAUGUGUUCCCCCUAACUGUGCACCGUUGCGAAGGUUCGUUGUUUCGAAGCACCACGUGAUGAUCGGGUGUGAUAGAUUCUAACGUUCGCAUACAAUGGGUGUUGACGAGCCUAGCAUGUACAGACAUGGCCUCGGAACACAAGCAAAACACUUAGGUUGACUUGACGAGCCUAGCAUGUACAGACAUGGCCUCGGAACACAAGAGACCGAAAGGUCGAACAUGAGUCGUAUAGUAGAUACGAUCAACAUGGAGAUGUUCACCGAUGAUGACUAGUCCAUCCCACGUGAUGAUCGGACACGGCCUAGUCGAUUCGGAUCAUGUAUCACUUAGAUGACUAGAGGGAUGUCUAUCUAAGUGGGAGUUCAUUAAAUAAUCAGAUGAACUUAAUUAUCAUGAACAUAGUCAAAAGUUCUUUGCAAAUAAUGUCGUAGCUUACGCUUUAGUUCUACUAAGAUAUGUUCCUAGAGAAAAUUUAGUUGAAAGUUGAUAGUAGCAAUUAUGCGGACUGGGUCUGUAAACUGAGGAUUGACCUCAUUGCUGCACAGAAGGCUUAUGUCCUUAAUGCACCGCUUAGUGUGCUGAACCUCGAGCGUCGUCUGUAGAUGUUACGAAACAUCUGACAUACACAUUUUGAUGACUACGUGAUAGUUCAGUGUGUGAUGCUAACGGUUUAAAAUUGUGGCACCAAAGACGGUUUUGAAACGUCGCAGAACAUAUGAGAUGUUCCAAAGACUGAAAUUGGGAUUUCAGACUAAUGCCCACGUCAAGAGGUAUGAGACCUCUGACAAGUUUCUUAAGCCUGCAAACUAAGGGAGAGAAACUCAAUCAUUGAGCAUGUGCUCAGAUUGUCUGAGUACUACAAUCACUUGAAUCGAGUGGGAGUUAAUCUUCCAGAUGAGAUAGUGAUGGUUCUCCAUAGUCACUGCCACCAAGCUAUUAGAGCUUCGUGAUGAACUACAACAUAUCAGGGUAGACAUGAUGAUCCUUGAGCAACUCGCGAUGUUUGACACCGUGAAAGUAGAAAUCAAGAAGGAGCAUCAAUUGUUGAUGGUUGGUAAAACCACUAGUUUCUAGAAGGGCAAGGGCAAGAAGGGAUACUUCAUGAAAUGGCAAAUCAGUUGCUGCUCUAGUGAAGAAACCCAAGGUUGAACCCAAACCCAAGACUAAGUGCUUCUGAAAUGAGGGGAACGGUCACUGAAGCAGAACUACCCUAGAUACUUCGUAGAUGAGAAGGCUGGCAAGGUCGACAGAAGUAUAUUGGAUAUACAUUAUAUUAAUGUGUACUUUACUAGUACUCCUAGUAGCACCAGGGUAUUAGAUACCGGUUCGGUUGCUAAGUGUUAGUAACUCGAAAUAAAAGCUGCGGAAUAAACGGAGACUAGCUAAAGGUGAGAUGACGAUAUGUGUUGGAAGCGUUUCCAAGGUUGAUGUGAUCAAGCAUCGCAUGCUCCCUCUACCAUCGAGAUUGGGGUUAAACCUGAAUAAUUAUUAUUUGGUGUUUGCGUUGAGCAUAGACAUGAUUGGAUUAUGUUUAUCGCAAUACGGUUAUUCAUUAAAGGAGAAUAAUGGUUACUCUGUCUAUUUGAAUAAUACCUUCAAUGGUCUUGCACCUAAAAUGAAUGGUUUAUUGAAUCUCGAUCGUAGUGAUACACAUGUUCAUGCCAAAAGAUAUAAGAUAGUAAUGAUAGUACCACAUACUUGUGGCACUGCCACUUGAGUCAUAUUGGUAUAAAACGCACGAAGAAGCUCCAUGUUGAUGGAUCUUUGGACUCACUCGUUUUUGAAAAGAUUGAGACAUGCGAACCAUGUCUAUUAGUAUAUAUGCAUGAAGAAAGUCCAUACAGAUGGAUCAUUUGGACUCACUUGAUUUUGAAUCACUUGAGACAUGCAAAUCAUACCACAUGGGCGAGAUGACUGAAAGGCCUCGUUUUCAGUAAGAUGGAACAAGAGAGCAACUUGGAUGGAACAAGAGAGCAACUUGUUGGAAGUAAUACAUUUGAUGUGUGCAGUCCAAUGAGUGCCGACGCACGCAGUGGAUAUCGUUAUGUUCUUACUUCACAGAUGAUUUGUGUAGAUGCUGAGAAUAUUUACUUGAUGAAACACAAGUCUGAAUUAUUGAAAGGUUCAAGUAAUUUCAGAGUGAAGUUGAAGAUCGUCGUGACAAGAGGAUAAAAUGUAUGUGAUAUGAUCAUAGAGAUGAAUAUCUGAGUUACGAGUUUGGCACACAAUUAAGAAAUUGUGGAAAUUGUUUCACGACUAAUACCGCCUGGAACACCAUAUUGUGAUGGUGUGUCCGAACAUCAUAACUGCACCCUAUUGGAUAUGGUGCAUACCAUGAUGUCUCUUAUCGAAUUACAACUAUCGUUUAUGGGUUAGGCAUUAGAGACAACCGCAUUCACUUUAAAUAGGGCACCACGCAAUUCCGUUGAGACGACACCGUAUGAACUAUGGUUUAGAGAAACCUAAGCUGUCGUUUCUUAAAAGUUUGGGGCUGCGACGCUUAUGUGAAAAAGUUUCAGGCUGAUAAGCUCGAACCCAAAGCGGAUAAAUGCAUCUUCAUAGAAUAUCCAAAACAGUUGGGUAUACCUCCUAUUUCAGAUCUGGAAGCAAAAGUGAUUGUUUCUAGAAACGGGCCCUUUCUCGAGGAAAAGUUUCUCUCGAAAGAAUUGAGUGGGAGGAUGGUGGAGACUUGAUGAGGUCAUUGAACCGUCACUUCAACUAAUGUGUAGCAGGGCACAGGAAGUUGUUCCUGUGGCACCUACACCAAUUGAAGUGGAAGCUUAUGAUAGUGAUCAUGAAACUUCAGAUCAAGUCACUACCAAACCUCAUAGGACGACAAGGAUGCGUACUACUUCAGAGUGGUACGUAAUCCUGUCUUGGAAGUCAUGUUGCUAGACAACAAUGAACCUACGAGCUAUGGAGAAGCGACGGUGGGCCCGGAUUCCGACGAAUGGCUCGAGGCCGUAAAAUCCGAGAGGAUCCAUGUAUGAAAACAAAGUAUAGACUUUGAAAGAACUACUUGAUGGUCGUAAGGCUGUUGGGUACAGAUGGAUUUUAAAGGGAAGACAGACAAUGAUGGUAAGUGUCACCAUUAAGAAAGCUCGACUUGUCAUUAAGAUGUUUUCCGGCAAGUUCAAGGAGUUGACUGCGAUGAGACUUCUCACUCAUAGCGAUGCUAAGAGUCUGUUAGAAUUAUAUUAGCAGUUACUGCAUUAUUUAUGAAAUCUUGCAGAUAGGAUGUUAAAACAUUGUUUCCUCGACGAUUUUCUUGAGGAAAGGUUGUAUGUGAUACAACCAGAAGGUUUUGUCAAUCCUGAAAGAUGCUAACAAGUAUGCAAAGCUCCAGCAAUCCUUCUAAGGAUUGGAGUAAGCAUCUCGGAGUUGGAAUGAACGCUUUGAUGAGAUGAUCAAAGAUUUUGGGUUUAUAAUAAGUUCAUGAGAAACUUGUAUUUCCAAAGAAGUGAGUGGGAGCACUAUAGAAUUUUUGAUGAGUAUAUGUUGUUAACAUAUUGUUGAUCAGAAAUGAUGUAGAAUUUCUGGAAAGCAUCCAGGGUUAUUUGAAAAGUGUUUUUAAUGGAAAACCUGGAUUAAGCUACUUGAACAUUGAGCAUCAAGAUCUAUAAGGAUAGAUCAAAAAGGCUUAAUAGUACUUUCAAAUGAAUACAUACCGUGACAAGAUUUUGAAGGAGUUCAAAAUAGAUCAGCAAAGAAGGAGUUCUUGGCUGUUUUACAAGGUGUGGGUAUUGAGUAAGACUCAAUACCUGACCACGGCAGAAGAAAGAGAAAGGACGAAGGUCGUCCCCUAUGCUUUAGACGUAGGCUCUACAAUAUGCUAUACUGUGUACCGCACCUGAAGUGUGCCUUGCCAUGAGUUAGUCAAGGGGUACAAUAGUGAUCCAGGAAGGGAUCACAUGACAGCGGUCGAACUUAUCCUUAGUAUCUAGUGGACUGAGGAAUUUUCUCGAUUAUGGAGGUGGAAAGGGGGUUCGUCGUAAAGGGUUACGUCGAUGCAAACUUUGACACUAAUCCGGAUGACUCUGAGUAGUGAACCAGAUUCGUAUAGUAGAGCAGUUAUUUGGAAUAGCUCCAAGUAGCGCGUGGUAGUUGCAUCUACAAGAUGACAUAGAAAUUUGUAAAGCACACACGGAUCUGAAUGUUGCAGACCCGUUUACUAAAACCUCUCUCGUAAGCAUAACAUGAUCAAACCCUAGAACUCAUUGAGUGUUAAUCACAUGGUGAUGUGAACUAGAUUAUUGACUCUAGUAAACUCUUGGGUAUUAGUCACAUGGCGAUGUGAACUUUGAGUGUUAAUCACAUGGUGAUGUGAACUAGAUUAUUGACUCUAGUGCAAGUGGGAGACUGUUGGAAAUAUGCCCUAGAGGCAAUAAUAAAAUGGUUAUUAUUGUAUUUACUUGUUCAUGAUAAUUGUCUGUUGUUCAUGCUAUAAUUGUAUUAACUGGAAACCGUAAUACAUGUGUGAAUACAUAGACCACAACAUGUCCCUAGUAAGCCUCUAGUUGACUAGCUCGUUGAUCAAUAGAUGGUUAUGGUUUCCUGACCAUGGACAUUGGAUGUCAUUGAUAACGGGAUCACAUCAUUAGGAGAAUGAUGUGAUGGACAAGACCCAAUCCUAAGCAUAGCACAAGAUCGUGUAGUUCGUUUGCUAGAGCUUUUCUAAUGUCAAGUAUCAUUUCCUUAGACCAUGAUAUUGUGCAAAUCCCGGAUACCAUAGGAGUGCUUUGGGUGUGCCAAACGUCACAACGUAACUGGGUGGCUAUAAAGGUGCACUACGUGUAUCUCCGAAAGUGUCUGUUGGGUUGGCACGAAUGGAGACUGGGAUUUGUCACUCCGUAUGACGGAGAGGUAUCUCUGGGCCCACUCGGUAAUGCAUCAUCAUAAUGAGCUCAAUGUGACCAAGUGUUUGGUCACAGGAUCAUGCAUUACGGUACGAGUAAAGUGACUUGCCGGUAACGAGAUUGAACAAGGUAUUGGGAUACCGACGAUCGAAUCUCGGGCAAGUAACGUACCGAUUGACAAAGGGAAUUGUAUACGGGAUUGGUUGAAUCCUCGACAUCGUGGUUCAUCCAAUGAGAUCAUCGUGGAACAUGUGGGUGCCAACAUGGGUAUCCAGAUCCUGCUGUUGGUUAUUGACCGAAGAGUCGUCUCGGUCAUGUCUGCAUGUCUCCCGAACCCGUAGGGUCUACACACUUAAGGUUCGGUGACGCUAGAGUUGUAGAGAUAUUAGUAUGCGGUUAACCGAAAGUUGUUCGGAGUCCCGGAUGAGAUCCCGGACGUCACGAGGAGUUCCGGAAUGGUCCGGAGGUAAAGAUUUAUAUAUGGGAAGUCCCAUUUUGGCCACCGGAAAAUGUUCGGGAUUUUUCGGUAUUGUACCGGGAAGGUUCUAGAAGGUUCCAAAGUGGGGCCCACCUGCAUGGGGGGACCCACAUGAACGUGGGUAGUGGGGGAAAGGCCCCACACCCCUGUUCAAGGCGCACCAAGAUCCCACCUUAGAAGGAAUAAGAUCAUAUCCCGAAGGGAUAAGAUCAAGAUCCCUAAAGAAGGGGGAUAACAAUCGGUGGGGAAGGGAAAUGAUGGGAUUUCUUUCCCCCACCUUUGCCAACGCCCCAAUGGACUUGGAGGGCAAGAAACCAGCCCCCUCCACCCCUAUAUAUAGUGGGGAGGCGCAUGGGAGCAGCACCCCAAGCCCUGGCGCCUCCCUCCCUCCCGUGACACCUCUUCCUCCCCGUUUGCGCUUGGCAAAGCCCUGCCGGGAUCCCGCUACUUCCACCACCACGCCGUCGUGCUGCUGGAUCUCCAUCAACUUCUCCUCCCCCCUUGCUGGAUCAAGAAGGAGGAGACGUCCCCGCUACGUACGUGUGUUGAACGCGGAGGUGCCGUCCGUUCGGCGCUAGGAUCAUCGGUGAUUUGGAUCACGACGAGUACGACUCCAUCAACCCCGUUCUCUUGAACGCUUCCGCUCGCGAUCUACAAGGGUAUGUAGAUGCACUCCUCCCCUCUCGUUGCUAGCACCUCCUAGAUUGAUCUUGGUGACACGUAGGAAAAUUUUGAAUUUCUGCUACGUUCCCCAACAGAAUGAGUGUAAGUGCCGGAAGGGGAAUUGUGGUGUAGAGUGACCUCAGCAUAAUACUCGUACAAUGCUCCGGCCAGAUGCUCCCGAUACACCUGAUACUCUGGAUCAGCACCCUCUGGAUAGAGUCGUCGCCACACGUUCUGAAGCAGGUGCGGUGAUUGAUACGUCUCCAUCGUAUCUAUAAUUUUUGAUUGUUCCAUGCCAAUAUUCUAUAACUUUCAUAUACUUUUGGCAACUUUUUAUACUAUUUUUGGACUAACAUAUUGAUCCAGUGCCCAGUGCUAGUUCUUGUUUGUUGCAUGUUUUAUGUUUCGUAGAAAACCCAUAUCAAACGGAGUCCAAACGGGAUAAAAACUAACGGAGAUUUUUUUUGGAAUAUUUGUGAUUUUUGGGAAGAAGAAUCAACAAGAUACGAUGCCCGAGGGGGCCACGAGGCAGGGGGCGCGCCCUGGACCCUCGUGGCCACCCCGUAAGGCGGUUGGAGCCCUUCUUUUGCUGCAAGAAAGCUAAUUUCCGGAUAGAGACCGUGUCCAAAAUUCAGCCCAAUCGGAGUUACGGAUCUCCGGUUAUAAAAGAAAAGGUGAAAGGCCAGAUCUGAGAGCGCAGAAACAGAGAGAGACAGAAAGACAGAUCCAAUCACGGAGGAGCUCUCGCCCCUCCCAUGCCAUGGAGGCCAAGGACCAGAGGGGAAACCCUUCUCCCAUCUAGGGAGGAGGUCAAGGAAGAAGAAGAAGAAGGGGCCCCCUCUCCCCCUCUCUUUCGGUGGCGCCGGAACACCGCCGGGGGCCAUCAUCAUCACCGCAACACCUCCGCCAUCUUCACCAACAUCUCCAUCACCUUCCCCCCUCUAUCUAUAGCGGUCCACUCUCCCGCAACCCGCUGUACCCUCUACUUGAACAUGGUGCUUUAUGCUUCAUAUUAUUAUCCAAUGAUGUGUUGCCAUCCUAUGAUAUCUGAGUAGAUUUUCGUUGUCCUAUCGGUGGUUGAUGAAUUGCUAUGAUUGAUUUAAUUUGCUUUUGGUUAUGUUGCUGUCCUUUGGUGCCCAUCAUAUGAGCACGCGCGUCGAUCACACCAUAGGGUUAGUUGUAUGUUGAUAGGACUAUGUAUUGGAGGGCAAGAGUGACAGAAGCUUCAACCUAGCAUAGAAAUUGAUGCAUACGGGAUUGAAGGGGGGCCAAUAUAUCUUAAUGCUAUGGUUGGGUUUUGCCUUAAUGAACGUUAGUAGUUGCGGAUGCUUGCUAAUAGUUCCAAUCAUAAGUGCAUAGAAUUCCAAGUCAGGGAUGACAUGCUAGCAGUGGCCUCUCCCACAUAAAAUUUGCUAUCGGUCUAGUAAAGUAGUCAAUUGCUUAGGGACAAUUUCGCAACUCCUAUCACCACUUUUCCACACUCGCUAUAUUUACUUUAUUGUGUCUUUAUCUAAACAGCCCCUACUUUUUAUUUACAUGCUCUUUAUUAUCUUGCAAACCUAUCCAACAACACCUACAAAGUAUUUCUAGUUUCAUACUUGUUCUAGGUAAAGCGAAUGUUAAGCGUGCGUAGAGUUGUAUCGGUGGUCGAUAGAACUUGAGGGAAUAUUUUUUCUACCUUUAGCUCCUCGUUGGGUUCGACACUCUUACUUAUCGAAAGAGGCUACAAUUGAUCCCCUAUACUUGUGGGUUAUCAAGACCUUUUUCUGGCGCCGUUGCCGGGGAACAAUAGCGUGGGGUGAAUAUUCUCGUGUGUGCUUGUUUGCUUUAUCACUAAGUAAUUUUUAUUUGCUGUUCUUAGUUGUUCUUUAUCUUUAGUUAUGGAUAUGGAACACGAAAUACCAAAAAAUUAGGUGUACUUGCUACUCAUGGAGAUGGGGAACCUCCUAAAACCCUCGAUGCUCGUUAUGUGACAGAUAUUAUGUACUACUUUGAUAAUCCAGAGAAAACCCCAUUCAAUUAUGUAAUGGGCGACACGUUGGAUCAACGUGAAUACUUUAGGGAUUAUCGCUUGACUCAAAAAGGGAAACUAUUAUGGGACCAAAUUCAUAUGUUGAAGUGGUAUGCUAGGCAACUAUGCUUGAGAUAUGAUUAUACUUGUUGCUCUAGUAUGAAGUCUCCACACCUUCCCUUUUCAUGCAAAUUUAAUGAUAAUAAAACCUUAUCUUCUUAUGCUAAUGGUAUAUAUGAUUACUAUGAUGUGGAAUAAAUAGAAGAAUUUGUUGCUUUUAUGGGUGCUUAUGAAAUUGAAUCUAUGUUCAAAGAAUUUGAAAAUCUUUAUGAUGUUGUUUAUAGACCUGAAAACUUAGCUAUCCUUAAAUAUUGCUAUGCCAAUUAUGAAUUCAAUUCCGAUAUUGAUGCAUUUAUUGAGAAAGUCUCCGCUGUCCAAGAAGAGACUAAUAUUUUGCAGGAGUCUAUGGAAGAAGAAAUUGAUGAUACUGUGAGCUCAUUGGAUGAAAAAGAUGAUGAGGAGAGCAAAGAACAAAAGGAGGAAGAGCGGGUUAGCUACCCGUGCCCACCUUCUAAUGAGAGUAACUCUUCAACUCAUACAUUGUUUAAUUUCCCUUCGUGCUUACCGAAGGAUGAUUGCUAUGAUGAUUGUUAUGAUUCGGUUGAUUCUCUUGAAAUAUCCCUUUUUGAUGAUGCUUGCUAUGCUUGUGGCCAAGAUGCCAAUAUGAAUUAUGCUUUUGGAGAUGAACUUGCUAUAGUUCCUUAUGUUAAACAUGAAAUUGUUGCUAUUGCACCCACACAUGAUAGUCAUAUUAUCUUUUUGAAUUGUCCCGACUACACUAUAUCAGAGAAGUUUUCCCUUAUUAAGGAUUAUAUUGAUGGGUUGUGUUUUACUUACACACAUGAUGAUUUUGAUGAAUAUAAUAUGCAUGUGCUUGCUGCUCCUACUUGCAAUUAUUAUGAGAGAGGAACUACAUCUCUGCCUCUUUAUGUUUCCAACACGAAAAAAUUGCAAAAAACUGUUUAUACUAUGCAUUGGCCUUUACUAUGUGUGCAUGAAUUGUUCUUUUAUGACAUGCCGAUGCAUAGGAAGAGAUUUAGACUUCUUCAUUACAUGAUAUAUGUUACUUUGUGCUCACUACUAAAUGCCAAAUCAUUGCUAAUUAAAAUUGGCUUUGAUAUACCUUGGGAUCCGGGUGGAUUCACUACUUGAGCACCAUAUGCCUAGCUUAAUGGCUUUAAAGAAAGCGCUGCCAGGGAGACAACCCGGAAGUUUUAGAGAGUCAUUUAUUUCUAUUGAGUGCUUUCAUAUAGUUUAAAAACAAAAAGAUAAAGAGGGGAACCCAAAACUUUUUCAAAAAGAAAAGUGAAAGUGAGAGAGACAAGCAUUGUUCAAGUGGGAGCUAGCCUUGAACUUUGUUCAUGCUCACGGAAACUUUGUGAAUCUUGAUUACAGAAACUUUUCAACAAAAAUAAUUAUCCCCUUGUAUAAUUCCAUUGUAUUAUAAAAAUAAUGUGCCAAGGUUUGCCUUUAGGAUGUUUACAAUGCUUGUUGGUUUGUACGGUAAAGGACAGAAACUUUGGCUGUAGUGCGCGAUUUUUAAUUGUUUACUGCAACGUCAAAAGGUUCUGAAAUGUUUUGCACUGUCUUUCUAUACAAAUUGUUUAUUUUCUCUAAUUUUGGCAGAAUUUUUCAAGUAUCAGAAGUAUGGUGAAUGUUCAGAUUAUUACAGACUGUUCUGUUUUAGACAGAUUCUGUUUUUGAUGCAUAGUUUGCUUGUUUUGAUGAAACUAUCAAUUUCUAUCAGUAGAUUAAGCCAUGAAAAAUUUAUAUUACAGUAGAAACAGUGCAAAAAAAAUAUGAAUUGGUUUGCAACAGUACUUAGAUUAGUGAUUUACUUUAUUAUACUAACGGAUCCUACCGAGUUUUCUGUUGAAGUUUUGUGUGGAUGAAGUGUUCCAUGAUCGAGAAGGUCUCGAUAUGAGGAGAAGGAGGAGAGGCCAGAGCUCAAGCUUGGGGAUGCCCAAGGAACCCCAAGUAAAUAUUCAAGGAUAAUCAAGCGUCUAAGCUUGGGGAUGCCCCGGAAGGCAUCCCAUCUUUCUUCAACAAGUAUCGGUAUGUUUUCGGAUUCGUUUUGUUCAUGCGAUAUGUGCAAAUCUUGGAGCGUCUUUUGCAUUUAGUUUUCACUUUUCUUUUAUGCAACAUGCUGGUAUGAGAUAGUCCUUGGUUAAUUUAUAGAAUGCUCAUUGCACUUCACUUAUAUAUUUUGAGUAUGGCUUUAUAGAAUGCUUCAUGUGCUUCACUUAUAUCAUUUGAAGUUUGGAUUGCCUGUUUCUCUUCACAUAGAAUCGCCAUUUGUAGAAUGCUCUUUUGCUUCACUUAUACUUGUUAGAGCGUGGGCAUAUCUUUUGUAGAAAGAAUUAAACUCUCUUGCUUCACUUAUAUCUAUUUAGAGAGAUGACAGCAACUGGUCAUUCACAUGGUUAGUCAUAAAAUCCUACAUAAAACUUGUAGAUCACUGACUAUGAUAUGGUUGAUUCCUUGCAAUAGUUUUGUGAUAUAAAGAUGGUGAUAUUAGAGUCAUGCUAGUGUGUAGUUGUGGAUUGUAGAAAUACUUGUGUUGAGGAUUGUGAUUCCCGUAGCAUGCACGUAUGGUGAACCGUUAUGUAACGAAGUCGGAGCAUGAUUUAUUUAUUGAUUGUCUUCCUUAUGAGUGGCGGUCGGGGACGAGCGAUGGUAUUUUCCUACCAAUCUAUCCCCCCAGGGGCAUGCAUAGUAGUACUUUGCUUCCAGGGCUAAUAAACUUUUGCAAUAAUUAUAUGAGUUCUUUAUGACUAAUGUGAGUCCAUGGAUUAUACGCACUCUCACCCUUCCAUCUUGCUAGCCUCUUCGGUACCGUGCAUUGCCCUUUCUCACCUCGAGAGUUGGUGCAAACUUCGCUGGUGCAUCCAAACCCCGUGAUACGAUACGCUCUAUCACACAUAAGCCUCAUUAUAUCUUCCUCAAAACAGCCACCAUACCUACCUAUCAUGACAUUUCCAUAGCCAUUCCGAGAUAUAUUGCCAUGCAACUUCCAUCAUCAUCAUAUACAUGACUUGAGCAUUUAUUGUCAUAUUGCUUUGCAUGAUCAUAAGAUAUCUAGCAUGAUGUUUUCAUGGCUUGUCCGUUUUUUUGAUGUCAUUGCUACGCUAGAUCAUUGCACAUCCCGGUACACCACCGGAGGUGUUCAUAUAGAGUCAUAUCUUUGUUCUAGUAUCGAGUUGUAAUAUUGAGUUGUAAGUAAAUAAAAGUGUGAUGAUCAUCAUUAUUAGAGCAUUGCCCCAUCAAAAAAAAGAGAGGCCAAAGAAGCCUAAAUAAAAAAAGGGGCCAAAGAAGCCCGCAAAAAAAAGAAAAAAAGAAAAAAGGGCAAUGUUACUAUCCUUUUACCACACUUGUGCUUCAAAGUAGCACCAUGUUCUUCAUGAUAGAGAGUCUCUUGAGUUAUCACUUUCAUAUACUAGUGGGAAUUUUCAUUAUAGAACUAGGCUUGUAUAUUCCAACGAUGGGCUUUCUCAAAUGCCCUAGGUCUUCAUGAGCAAGCAAGUUGGAUGCACACCCACUUAGUUUGAGUUUGAGCUUUCAUAUACUUAUAGCUCUAGUGCAUCUGUUGCAUGUCAAUUCCUACUCCUCACAUUGACAUCAAUUGAUGGGCAUCUCCAUAGCCUGUUGAUUAGCCGCGUCGAUGUGAGACUUUCUCCUUUUUUGUCUUCUCCACAUAACCCCCAUCAUCAUAUUCUAUUCCACCCAUAGUGCUAUAUCCAUGGCUUGCGCUCAUGUAUUGCGUGAGGGUUGAAAAGGCUGAAGCGCGUUAAAAAGUAUGAACCUAUUGCUCGGCUUGUCAUCGGGGUUGUGCCUGAUGUGAAUAUUUUGUGUGGUGAAGAUGGAGCAUAGCCAGACUAUAUGAUUUUGUAGGGAUAACUUUCUUUGGCCAUGUUAUUUUGAAAAGACAUGAUUGGUUCAUUGGUAGGCUAGAAGUAUUAUUGUUUUUAAUGUCAAAUGAUAGACUAUUGCUUUGAAUCACUCGUGUCUUAAUAUUCAUGCCAUGAUUAGAUUAUGUGAUCAAGAUUAUGCUAGGUAGCAUUCGACAUCAAAAAUUAUCUUUCUUAUCAUUUACCUACUCGAGGACGAGCAGGAAUUAAGCUUGGGGAUGCUGAUACCUCUCUGUUGUAUCUAUAAUUUUUGAUUGUUCCAUGGCAAUAUUCUACAACUUUCAUAUAGUUUUGGCAACUUUUUAUACUAUUUUUUGGACUAACAUAUUGAUCCAGUGCCCAGUGUCAGUUCCUGUUUGUUGCAUGUUUCAUGUUUCGCAGAAAACCCAUAUCAAACGGAGUCCAAACGGGAUAAAAACUAACGGAGAUUUUUUUUGGAAUAUUUGUGAUUUUUGGGAAGAAGAAUCAACACGAUAUGAUGCCCAAGGGGGCCACGAGGCAGGGGGCGCGCCCCAGGGGGUCAGGCACGCCCUGGACCCUCCCGGCCACUGCGUAAGGAGGUUGGAGCCCUUCUUUCGCCGCAAGAAAGCUAAUUUUCGGAUAGAGACCGUGUCCAAAAUUCAGCCAAAUCGGAGUUACGGAUCUUCGGUUAUAAAAGAAACGGUGAAAGGUCAGAUCUGAGAGCGCAGAAAUAGAGAGAGACAGAAAGACAGAUCCAAUCUCGGAGGGGCUCUCGCCCCUCCCAUGCCAUGGAGGCCAAGGACCAGAGGGGAAACCCUUCUCCCAUCUAGGGAGGAGGUCAUGGAAGAAGAAGAAUAAGGGGGCCCCUCUCCCCCUCUCUUCCGGUGGCGCCGGAACGCCGCCAGGGCCAUCAUCAUCACCGCAACACCUCCGCCAUCUUCACCAACAUCUCCAUCACCUUCCCCCCUCUAUCUACAGCGGUCCACUCUCCUGCAACCCACUGUACCCUCUACUUGAACAUGGUGCUUUAUGCUUCAUAUUAUUAUCCAAUGAUGUGUUGCCAUCCUAUGAUGUCUGAGUAGAUUUUCGUUGUCCUAUCGGUGGUUGAUGAAUUGCUAUGAUUGAUUUAAUUUGCUUGUGGUUAUGUUGCUGUCCUUUGGUUAAUCAUAUGAGCGCGCGCGUGGAUCACACCAUAGGGUUAGUUGUAUGUUGAUAGGACUAUGUAUUGGAGGGCAAGAGUGACAGAAGCUUCAACCUAGCAUAGAAAUUGAUGCAUACGGGAUUGAAGGGGGACCAAUAUAUCUUAAUGCUAUGGUUGGGUUUUACCUUAAUGAACGUUAGUAGUUGCGGAUGCUUGCUAAUAGUUCCAAUCGUAAGUGCAUAGAAUUCCAAGUCAGGGAUGACAUGCUAGCAGUGGCCUCUCCCACAUAAAACUUGCUAUCGGUCUAGUAAAGUAGUCAAUUGCUUAGGGACAAUUUCGCAACUCCUAUCAACACUUUUCCACACUCGCUAUAUUUACUUUAUUGUGUCUUUAUCUAAACAGCCCCUACUUUUUAUUUACGUGCUCUUUAUUAUCUUGCAAUCCAAUCCAACAACACCUAUAAAGUAUUUCUAGUUUCAUACUUGUUCUAGGUAAAGCGAACGUUAUGCGUGCGUAGAGUUGUAUCGGUAGUCGAUAGACCUUGAGGGAAUAUUUGUUCUACCUUUAGCUCCUUGUUGGGUUCGACACUCUUACUUAUCGGAAGAGGCUACAAUUGACCCCCUAUACUUGUGGGUUAUCAGCGAUGUGUACGGAGCUGGCUCAGGAUGGUACAAGAUCGGAACUGGAGCCAUCUACACUCACAACCAUCAUACUGUUAGUAAUACCAACAGAUAACAUGCAUGCAAUGCAGCAACCAAUUUCUAUGACUACCGGCACUCAGACGAAACUAUUUACCGUUCCACUAACGCUCUAACGGUCUAGCGUGUCUUACAAUCAGCGCAGCUCUGAUACCAAGCGUUGUGGCAUCCCAGUUCAGAGCAACCGGUUUACCUUGCAUUGCCAGCCCAGAGAUCAAGUCUUUUGGCAACACACAACAACAUGGUACAUAAACAACCGCUUUAUUGAUGCUAGCGGAUUACACGGGUCUGAUAUUACAUCGAGAUAAGAGGCCAAGCGGCACACUCGGUGCGGCUCAACAGUAUGUACAUUAUUUAAUGAACAUAAAGGGGCCUCGAUUACACGAACUACGCGGCAGCGGAAGAACGACGAAGUGGAACUCCAUAGCACAGGGAGACCGAUGUCGACACCGCCUAGACGCGGGAAGCUCUCCGAUGCGAAAUGACUUGCCUGAAAACUGGCAUGACACGCCAGGUCAGUACAUUGAAUGCAACAAAAAUAAGCAUAAUGACAAACAAUAUCAUGACAAUUAAUCAGGUUAAUGCAAUGCAAGUAAUGCUACUAAUGCGGUGAAACCAACAUGUGCACCAUGUCCCACGGACUCGCUUACCAGACGGGUUACCUCGUAACCAAACGGUGAUCAUACCCGGAUCACAACUGAAACCAAUCACUCAUGAUUAGCUCAUGAUCUCCAGAAUCAUCAGUGCCAUCAACAAUUAUUUAGUGUGCAAGAUUAAUUAUAAAAGUUGAUCCAUGGUGUGACUUACUUCCGAGUUGUGCCCAUAACCGAGGACGCGGCUAUCGAUAGAUUUAAUAUACUCUGCAGAGGUAGCGCACUUUACCCACACCACGGAAUCCAUGGCCUCGCCCUCCCAUUCGGGUGGACCAACGGCAUUCCGACGAAACCCUCCCCUUGUCAUGACACUCUCCCGGCCACUCCGACAAACUCCCUCUCAGGGCUAUGUCCUGGGUGGCCCCGUGUCUACCAAAGACACCAACGGCCACCGUCGUGGCAAAACGGUCCCAAACUGGGACAAGGUACCAUAAAAACAAACGGGCACACAAGGUUAUGUCUGCUUACUGGGCCAAGGUAUGCACGCACAUAACCUUCCCUCAUUGGAGGCACCGGUGUGAGGCACAACAAAGGACCGAAUCAAGACCUCCCACGAGGUAAAUGUGGUCGCACUGAGAGAAACCCUAUUCAGUGGCACCAUGACUUGAUCAACGUCAUAUUGAAGUGGACUUAUUAACAGGUUUAACUUGAAUAAAAAUUUAAACUACCAAGUCAUAUGAUGCCAUGAUCAUGCAACUAAUCAACAUGCAAAGCAUACAACUCCCAUGUACGGAUCAAACUUAUCCACAUAACUUGCUUGCACUACUCAUGAUUAAACUUUACUGGUUCUCCCUCAACUUUUAUUAUCACGCAAUAUUUUUAUUAACUCAUAAUUUAUAUGUAGAUAUCACUUACCAAAAGAACUAUCAUUAUUUAUCAUAGCAAUAUAACUAAGGCAAAAUUUUAUUCUACUAGACCAAACUAGUCCAUGCAUUCAACCAGUAACUUAAACAAGCAUUUCAUGCAUGACAAAGUAACUAGCAAGCAACCAUAUAUUUUUAAAAAAAAUUUAAAUGCAUAUAAGAACUCAUAUUUAAGUAGAAACAAUCAUAGAUAUUGAAAUGACACCAUACAAAUGCUGGUAUGGCUUGCCUUAGUGCAGAGGAGGGUCACACUCCUCCUGGUGUCUUCAAGGCAAGUUCCUUCUUCUGAAAAUAUUUAAAAACCACAAAACAAAAUAUCAAAAAUCAUUCUGAAAAUCACUAGAAAUUCUAGACAACAAGGAAAAUUCCACAUUUUGGUGUGCUGCUAGUGCUUUCUGAAACAAACACAAUGCAAAAAGAAUCAACUCAUUUGGACUUAGGGCCUAGGAGUUAUCACUGGUCAAAGUUGUGGUCAAAUAUUUGAAUUAUUUUUGAAUAAAUCGAAAAACCUGGGGGGGGUGACGUCGGUGGCAUAAAGCCAGGAUACGCCUCCACUCGUACUGCUUCGGGAGCAAGUGGUGAGGCUGACACCGGGCCCCACCGGUCAGGAGAGAGAAGGGGGAGAGGGGAAACAGAGCGCGGCGGCGCUCUGUGGGUUUUGGAAAAAACCAGAGGGAUAGAAGUGGAGAGGGGGUCGUGGCGCACCAGCCCGUACCUGUGGCUUGCUGGGGGAUGGACGGAGUUGCUCGCAAUCAAGCUCGCAAGCGGCGGUGGUGGACGGGGCUUGCCGGAGAGGAAGAAGGCGACGGCGAGGGGCGACUCCAGGGGCUCAGCUGCGACCAGGCGACACCAGAGGAUCCCCAACGACGCGCCGGAGAGGUUGAUAGAGCUAGAAGGGCUCUGGAGUGGGGUGGUUGGGCUGCGGGGAUCGCCGGCGAUCUCUGGUCGAGGUCGACGGCCAGAGGCCUGCUCGACCGGGCUACGGCUCCUCUACACGGUUGUGGUGGUUAUGUGGUGCGGUGUGAGGCUUCAAAGCGGAGGGAAUGGCUCUAUAUAUAGCCGGAGCGAGAGGGGGGGUACGUGGCGUCGCUGGAGUUCUCUUGAGACCGACGAAGUGCGACGAAAGGCACCAGAGGGAGGGGGCAAGGGCUCAGUGUGUAGGUGGGAGCUGUCCACGCUCGCGGACGAGCACAGGAGGCAGGGGGAGAAGAAGACAAGGGCACGAGCGCACUGUGGCUUUUGGCCGCGACGUGCCCAUGCUCGCUGCGGUGUCUCCAGCGUCGCGAGCGCCAGAGAGGGGUCAAAGGUGAUGAGUCAAGGCUGGUGGCACGGCGCGGCAGUCGUCGGCGAGCUCUGGCUCGAGCACGCGCCGAACAGAGGCGUUGGCACUACUCAGAGCGCGUCGAGCACAUGCCAGACCCCAUGUCCACACGCGGUCACCACCCUGGCAUUGUCAAAACGACGCCCACGAUCGGCCAAACCUUGUCUGGGCUAAAGUCCAUGCAGUGAUGGGUCUAGGGAAGCUGAGGACUCAAUGCCGGGCCGACCAGAUGUGACUCAACCAUCUUGGCAAGUUUCUGGACAGAAACUUGGCUGCUAUGUUUGGAUAGCUUCUAGAUGGCCAUUAGGGCUGAUCUCCUGGGGUUAAGGGUUACUUAGGAGGGUGAAGAGACUCAAGAAAAAUCAGGGCCAAAGGAUCAAGGAAAAAUGCACUUGCUGUUCAAAGUGAAAUUUUGGGCCAGAAGAGAAAUUAUUUUCUGUAGCAAAAAUACUACAAAAAGUCAUGCAAUAUUUUUUCUUGGGAAGGUGGGCCAUGGUUCAAAGAAUAUUCAGGAAUUAUUUCAGAUUUUUAGGAGCAAUAAAAAUGGGGGUUGCUUUGGAGCACAAGUUUCUGAAAUGAGUUUCAGAGGAGAAAAUGAAUAUUUUCCUUUUAUGAAAAAUAUUCAUUUGAUUAUUUUGAGGAUUUUUCAGAGAACUAAGGUUGAAGGAGAAGUAGAUAGGUCACUUGGGUGAAAGUCAAGGGCAUGCCCAAGUGACAAGUCCAUUUGAAUUGAUUCCAAAAACUCAAAUCCAAGGCAAAGGCAAAACCAUGUCCGGAAAAAGAGAGAAGGCAAAAUCCAGGCUGUCACAAACCUCCCCCACUUAGGAUGAAUCUCGUCCUCGAGAUUCGGUUGCUUGGGAAAGCCAUCCUGGGUAGGAAGUCCUUAAAAAUUCCUCUCUUUCCCAGGUUGCCUCUUCCUUGGUAUGAUGUUCCCACUGAACCUUGUAAAACCUUAGCACUUUGCUGCGAGUGACUCUUUCUGUAUCAGCCAAUAUUCUGAUUGGUUUUUCCUCAUACGUCAAAUCCUUAGCCAGUUCUAUCUCUGCCAUAUCAGUCCUUUUCUCCGGUGGCGAGAUACAUCUCCUUAGCUGUGAGACAUGAAACACAUUGUGUACCUCUGACAGUUCGGGUGGCAAUUCCAAUUGAUAUGCAACUGUUCCGACUCUGGCCAUGACUGGAAACGGACCAAUAUAUCUGGGUGCCAAUUUUCCUCGGGUCUGAAACCUCUUAACUCCUUUCAUAGGGGUAACUUGGAGAUAGACGUGUUCUUCGGGUUCGAAGCUGAUCUGACGGUGUUUGGCGUCAUAAUAAUUCUUCUGUCGAGAUUUGGCCAACUGCAGUCUGUCUCGGAUUUCCUUGACUUGCUUCUCAGCUUCGAUCAUCAAAUCAGUCCCGAAAAUAUGGUUGUCCCCGGUUUGAGACCAAUUCAGCGGAGUGCGGCACUUACGGCCAUACAGAGCUUCAAAGGGUGACAUCUUUAAGCUGGUCUGGAAACUGUUGUUGUAGGAAAACUCGGCGUAUGGCAGACAGUCUUCCCACUUGGACCCUUGGGCCAAUGCACAUGCCCGGAGCAUAUCUUCGAGUAUUUGGUUUACUCGCUCAGUUUGUCCAUCUGUCUGGGGAUGAUAAGCCAUGCUGUAUUUCAGAGCAGUUCCCAAGGCUUGAUGUAGUCUGGACCAAAAUGCUGAGGUGAAGAGAGAUCCUCUAUCUGAAGUGAUAUUCUUUGGUACUCCAUGCAGACUGACGAUUCAGGACACAUACAAUUGUGCAAGUUGAUCGACAUGGUAGGUGGUCCGGAUGGGAAGAAAAUGUGCCACCUUCGUUAAGGUGUCCACUAUGACCCAUAUUGCGUCAUUUCCUCGGUGAGUCCUUGGUAAACCGGUGAUGAAAUCCAUGCAGACAUCAUCCCAUUUCCAUUGGGAUACAGGUAACGGUUUGAAGGAGUCCGACGGGUUUUUGGUGUUCCGCCUUUACCUUGUUGCAUAUAUCACAACAAGCCACAAAGUAAGCGAUCUCGUUCUUCAUUCCAUUCCACCAGAAUACCUGACGAAGGUCUUCGUACAUUUUAGUGCCACCUGGGUGAAUUGAGUACGGCGAUUCAUGUGCUUCUGUCAAUAUUUUCUUCCUCAGACCUUCUUGGCUGGGUACGCAAAUCCUUCCUCGGAAUCUUAGCGUACCUUGUUGAUCUCUAGAGAAAUCCUGUGUCUGUCCUUCUUGCAUACGCUUGGCAUAUAAUUGCAAUGAUUUGUCAUUUGCUUGAGCGCUGCGAAUUUCUUCUUCGAGGGUAGGAGUAACUUCCAAUAUACUGGCAAGACUGGCAUCCAUGAUUACCAAAUUAAGCCGGGCAAUUUCUCCAUAAAGCUCAGGAGGCAAAGAUUCCACUAGAGCAUUCAGGUUGGCCGGUUUGCGGCUGAGAGCGUCAGCAACCACAUUAGCUUUGCCCGGGUGAUAAUUUAUACCGAUGUCGUAAUCCUUAACCAAUUCGAGCCAUCUUCACUGAUGAAGGUUCAAAUCAGGCUGAGUGAAUAUAUACUUGAGACUCUUGUGGUCGGUAAAUAUCUGGCACCUCUUUCCAAUAAGAUAAUGUCUCCAAAUCUUCAAAGCGUGCACCACCGCAGCCAAUUCCAAAUCAUGAGUGGGAUAAUUUCCCUCGUGUGGCCGUAGUUGUCGGGAUGCAUGAGCCACAACCUUGCCAUCUUGCAUAAGUACGCAUCCAAGGCCUUUUCUGGAGGCGUCACAGUAGACAUCAAAACUGCUAUAGAUGUCGGGAAGAGUCAAUACUGGUGCUGACGUCAAUCUGGUUUUUAGCUCCUUGAAACUCCGUUCGCAGUUCUCAGUCCAUUCAAACUUCUUAUCCUUCUUUAGGAGCUUUGUCAUGGGUUUGGCAAUCUUGGAGAAUCCUUCAAUAAAACGGCGAUAAUAUCCGGCUAGUCCAAGGAAACUUUGGAUUUCUGAGACUGUCGUGGGUGCGGACCAAUCAAGCACAUCUUUUACCUUGCUUAGAUCCAAAGCUAUUCCUUCUGCCGAGAGAACCUGCCCUAAAAAUCCAACUUGCUUGAGCCAAAACUCAAAUUUGCUAAACUUGGCGUAAAGUUGAUGAUCGCGGAGUCUCUGCAAAACUGCUCGGAGGUGGUCCUUGUGUUCCUCUUUGCUUUUUGAGUAAAUGAGGAUGUCAUCGAUGAACACCACCACAAAUUUGUCCAAGAAGUCCAUAACACCUUUAUUCAUCAUAUGCAUGAACAAGGCUGGGGCGUUGGUGAGGCCGAAUGACAUAACGGUAUACUCAUAGAGACCAUACCGAGUGGUGAACGCGGUCUUGGGAAAAUCUUCCUUCUUGAUUUUGAGUUGAUGAUAUCCGGUCCUCAAAUCAAUUUUGGAGAAUACUUUGGCCCCACUGAGUUGAUCAAACAAAUCAUCAAUCCUUGGUAGCGGAUACUUAUUUUUGAUGGUGACAUCAUUCAGCUGUCGGUAGUCCACGCACAUCCGAAGACUGCCAUCCUUUUUAUCCACGAAUAUCGCGGGUGAUCCCCACGGUGAAGAGCUUGGGCGGAUGUAUCCUUUCUGCAGCAUUUCAUCCAGUUGUUUCUUUAAUUCCACCAAUUCUGAUGAAGGCAUCCGAUAAUAUUUCUUGUGUAUCGGUGUGGUUCUAGGCACCAAGUCAAUUGCAAACUCCAGUUCUUUGUCUGGCGGCAUUCCUGGUAAUUCCUCAGGAAAUACAUCUGGAUACUCACUGACCACUGCAAUCAAUUCCACUUCUUCAACCACGGCGGUGAAAACCAUAUCCUUCUUGGGUAUGCUUUUGCGGGCAUAAAAACAUGCGGUGCGACCCUCCUGAUUUGCCAUGGUAACUUCUCUGGUUGCAUAGUUGAUGCAUACUUGGUAUUGGGUCAACCAAUUCAUUCCGAGAAUAAUAUCCAAUUUGUCAGAAUCGAUGAUUAUUAGAGACGUUGGAAACUUGACCCCCUUGAUAUCAAUUUCCAGAUUACGGAAGACCAGAUUGCUUCUGAGCAAGGAUCCCGGGGAUUGUACCAGCAUAUGUUUUCCCAAAAUCGAGCAAGGAAAUUUGUUUUGGGCAGCACAACUCCACGAAAUAAAAGAGUGGGAAGCCCUAGAGUCAAAUAAAAUUAUGGCAGGUAUGUUAUUAAUAGGGAACAUACCAAUGAGUACUUCCGGGUCUUCUUGGGCUUCAUCGGUGGAGAUAUGAUGGAUUUGCCCUUGGAUGGCACUCGGGCCAGGAUAUGGCUCCAGAUAGUUGACUUGCGGACGGAAUGGGGCUGUUGGCUUGCCGUUCUUGGGGCACUAUCUGGCGUAAUGUCUGGUUUGCCCACAACUGAAACAGGAAUUGUUGCGCUGACAAUCUUCACGUACUGGGCUGGUCACGAUAUUCUUGACUUGAGUGGUGGUCUUGUUGACAUUUUGCUGCCAGUUGGGUUUGUAGUCAACCUGAGUCUGUUGCCAUGUACGAGCCUUCUGCACGGGUUGCAUAUCCUUCUUAGGCUCUAAUUUGCGCUUGUGGUAAUUAUUAGCUGGCCUGUUGUCGUGCAUGAGCUUGUGUUCCCGUUCUGCGAUGAGAGUCUUGUUCACCAGAGUUUGGAAGUCCGGAAAAUCAAACAUGCUGAGAGUGCACCUGAGAUGCUGAUUCAGUCCUCCAAGAAAUCUGUCGACCUUCCGUUCUUCGGUGGCCACAUCAUAGAGGGAAUAGCGGGCCAAAUGGUUGAAUUUAUUCAGGUACUCGCUGACUGACAUGCUUCCGUGAGUGAGAGAGAGGAAUUCGCGCUGCUUGAUUUUCAUAAUUCCGGAGGGAAUAUGGUACUUGCGGAAAUGAUCCUUGAAUUUAGUCUAAGUAAUUUCCUCGUCUGCGGGCCACAUGGCCUUAGCAUUAUCCCACCAUAUCGCGGCAGCUCCUUCAAGAUAAUGCGUUCCGGAAGGAACCUUGUCUCCUUCUUCAGUGCGAGCAACUUCCAGUUUCUUCUCAAUAGUCCUUAACCAAUCAUCAGCAUCCAAUGGAUCAAUAACUUGACUGAAACUGGGAGGUCUGGUUCGCUGAAAAUCUGACAACUUGGAGUAAUGACCAUUCUGAUGUCCAUUCUGCCCAACCAUAACUUGCACACUUUUCAGUAGUUCCAUCAGAUCGUUGUUCCUUCUUUCUUCAAACAUUCACAUGAUUUGCUCAGUAGAAGGCGGAUGUGGUGGUGGAGGCGGAGGUGGCUGAUAUGGCUCGGGAGAAUGUCCUGCAUGUCUUGCGGAGCGACGAACAGGGACAUCCUCACAAGCUUGGCUGCUGCUGCCUCCCCGCGGCAUCCUAUUAUUUAUUUUCCCAGUGCAAAGCAACCGCGAUGAUAAAUAUCCAAAAAUGGGAGGAAAGCCAGUGACAAAACCAGAAGAAAACAACGAAAGAAACCAAGGCGAAUAAAAGAGAGUUCCAACAUAAUUAUACAUAGACUCAACAUGAAAGUUAAACAUCAUGACAGGGUCACUACCCUCAUACAUGAAACUAAGCAUCAUAACACGUGCGUCUACAUCCAUACAUCAUACUCAUGCCGACGGAGAUACUCUAGCGAUCUACUGCUCUGAUGGUGCUGCUGCGGGCUCCUCUCCUGAGCCGGACCCAGAUCCUGAACUGAUAGUGGUGACCUCCGGGUUAAGAGAGACGCGACGACGCUGCCUCGAGGACUCUCCCUCAGGGGCAGGUGCGGGAUGAGAUCUAAGCAUAGGAGCUGCAAGAGUAGCGACAAGGGAAGCCCACGCAGCAAGAGCACUGCGAGGGGUUACUGCCAAAGGGGUAGUGGUACUCUGAGUGGUGGCAGAGGCUGGAGGAACGUAUGGAGUGAAACCGACAGUAGGGAGAGGGUUCCUAUUACGAGCAGCGGCGAGAGCUAUCCGGGCGCGGGUUAGCUCCCGAGCUAGCUCGUAGUUCAGGAGAUAACUGGCAGUGAUAUAACGGGAAGGUGGCUAGUAGGACGAUCUCACGCCGGAUUAAUCAAAGGAAAGCGGAUACGUCCAUUCUCGUGCAGAGAUGGGUAGUAAAAGAAACCUGGGUGGGUGUGCAUGCGAACCUUGUUGUAGCGCAAGUCUACAAGAGCUUCGAUUGCAGCAAACUGGACCGCCUGAGACGGCGUAGAAGCGAGACCACCCUUAGUAGAAUGAGUGUAAGUGCCGGAAGGGGAACUAUUGUGUAGAGUGACCUCAGCAUAAUACUCGUACAAUGCUCCGGCCAGAUUCUCCCGAUACACCUGAUACUCUGGAUCAGCACCCUCUGGAUAGAGUCGUCGCCACACAUUCUGAAGCAGGUGUGGCGAUGUGUACGAAGCUGGCUCAGGAUGGUACAAGAUUGGAACUGGAGCCAUCUACACUCACAACCAUCAUACGGUUAGUAAUAACAACAGAUAACAUGCAUGCAAUGCAACAACCAAUUUCUAUGACUACCGGCACUCAGAUGAAACUAUUUACCAUUCCACUAACGCACUAACGGUCUAGCGUGUCCUACAAUCAGCGCGGCUCUGAUACCAAGCGUUGUGGCACCCAGCUCAGAGCAACCGGUUUACCUUGCAUUGCCGGCCCAGAGAUUAAGUCUUUUGGCAACACACAACAACAUGGUACAGAAACAACCGCUUUAUUGAUGCUAGCGGAUUACACGGGUCUGAUAUUACAUCGAGAUAAGAGGCCAAGCGACACACACGGUGCGGCUGAACAGUAUGUACAUUAUUUAAUGAACAUAAAGGGGCCUCGAUUACACGAACUACGCGGCAGCGGAAGAACGACAAAGUGGAACUCCAUAGCACAGGGACACCGACGUGGACACGGCCUAGACGCGGGAAGCUCUCCGAUGCGAAACGACUUACCUGAAAACUGGCAUGACACGCCAGGUCAGUACAUUGAAUGUACUUGCAAGCUCACAACAAACAUAAGCAUAAUGACAAACAAUAUCAUGACAAUUAAUCAGGUUAAUGCAAUGCAAGUAAUGCUACUAAUGCGGUGAAAAUAACAUGUGCACCAAGUCCCACGGACUCGCUUACCAGACGGGUUACCUCGUAACCAAACGGUGAUCAUACCCGGAUCACAACUGAAACCAAUCACUCAUGAUCUCCAGAAUCAUCAGUGCCAUCAACAGUUAUUUAGUGUGCUAGAUUAAUUAUAAAAGUUGAUCCAUGGUGUGGCUUACUUCCGAGUUGUGCCCAUAACCGAGGACGCGGCUAUCGAUAGAUUUAAUACACUCUGCAGAGGUAGCGCACUUUACCCACACCACGGAAUCCACGGCCUCGCCCUCCCAUUCGGGUGGACCAACGGCACUCCGACGAAACCCUCCCCUUGUCAUGACACUCUCCCGACCACUCCGACAAACUCCCUCUCAGGGCUAUGUCCUGGGUGGCCCCGUGUCUACCAAAGACACCAACGGCCACCGUCGUGGCAAAACGGUCCCAAACGGGGACAAGGUACGAUAAAAGCAAACGGGCACACAAGGUUAUGUCUGCUUACCGGGCCAGGGUAUGCACGCCCAUAACCUUCCCUCGUUGGAGGCACCUGCGAGAGGCACAACAAAGGACCGAAUCAAGACCUCCCACAAGGUAAAUGUGGUCGUACUGAAAGAAACCCGAUUCAGUGGCACCAUGACUUGAUCAACGUCAUAUUGAAGUGGACUUAUUAACAGGUUUAACUUGAAUAAAAAUUUAAACUACCAAGUCAUACGAUGCCAUGAUCAUGCAACUAACCAACAUGCAAAGCAUACAACUCCCAUGUACGGAUCAAACUUAUCCACAUAACUUGCUUGCACUACUCAUGAUUAAACUUUACUGGUUCUCCCUCAACUUUUAUUAUCAUGCAAUAUUUUUAUUAACUCAUAAUUUAUAUGUAGAUAUCACUUACCAAAAGAACUAUCAUUAUUUAUCAUAGCAAUAUAACUAAGGCAGAAUUUUAUUCUACUAGACCAAACUACUCCAUGCAUUCACCCAGUAACUUAAACAAGCAUUUCAUGCAUGACAAAGUAACUAGCAAGCAACCAUAUAUUUUUAACAAAUUUUUAAAUGCAUAUAAGAACUCAUAUUUAAGUAGAAACAAUCAUAGAUAUUGAAAUGACACCAUCCAAAUUCUGGUGUCGCUUGCCUUAGUGCAGAGGAGGGUCACACUCCUCCUGGUUGUCUUCAAGGCAAGUUCCUUCUUCUGAAAAUAUUUAAAGACCACAAAACAAAAUAUCAAAAACCAUUCUGAAAAUCACCAGAAAUUCUAGACAUCAAGGAAAAUUUCACAUUUUGGUGUGCUGCUAGAGCUUUCUGAAACAAACAUAAUGCAAAAAGAAUCAACUCAUUUGGACUUAGGGGCUAGGAGUUAUCACUGGUCAAAGUUGUGGUCAAAUAUUUGAAUUAUUUUGAAUAAAUCAGAAAACCUAGGGGGUGACGUCGAUGGCGUAAAGCCAGGAUACGCCUCCCCUCGUACCACUUCGGGUGCGAGUGGUGAGGCUGACACCGGGCCCCACCGGUCAGGAGAGAGAGGGGGAGAGGGGAAACAGAGCGCGGUGGCGCUCCGCCGGAGCCUACGCCGGCGACGAGUGGGUUUUGGGCAAAACUAGAGGGAUAGAAGUGGAGAUGGGGUCAUGGCGCACCUACCCGUACCCGUGGCUUGCCGGGGGAUGGCCGGAGUUGCUCGCAAUCAAGCUCGCAAGCGGCGGUGGCGGACGGGGCUUGCCAGAGAGGAAGAAGGCGACGGCGAGGGGCAACUCCAGGGGCUCAGCUGUGUCCAGGCGACACCAGAGGAUCCCCAACGACGCGCCGGAGAGGUUGAUAGAGCUAGAGGGGCUCUGGAGUGGGGUGGUUGGGCUGUGGGGAUUGCCAGCGAUCUCUGGUCGAGGUCGACGACCAGAGGCCUGCCCGACCGGGCUACGGGUCCUCUACGCGGUUGUGGUGGUUGUGUGGUGCGGUGUGAGGCUUCGAAGCGGAGGGAAUGGCUCUAUUUAUAGCCGGAGUGAGAGGGGGGUACGUGGCACCGCCGGAGUUCUCUGGAGACCGGCGAACGGCGACGAAAGGCACCAGAGGGAGGGGGAAAGGGCUCAGUGUGUAGGCGGGAGCUGUCCACGCUCGCGGACGAGCACAGGAGGCAGGGGAGAAGAAGACAAGGGCACGAGCGCACUGUGGCUUUUGGCCGCGACGUGCCCGUGCUCGCUGCGGCGUCUCCGGCAUCGGCGAGCGCCAGAGAGGGGUCAAAGGUGAUGAGUCGAGGCUGGUGGCGCGACGCGGCAGUCGUCGGCGAGCUCUGGCUCGAGCACGCGCCGAACAGAGGCGUUGGCGCUACUCAAAGCGCGUCGAGCACAUGCCAGACCUCGUGUCCACACACGGUCACCACCCUGGCAUGUUCAAAACGACGCCCACGAUCGGCCAAACCUUGUCUGGGCUAAAGUCCAUGCAGUGAUGGGUCUAGGGAAGCUGAGGACUCAAUGCCAGGCCGACGAGAUGUGACUCAACCAUCUUGGCAAGUUUCUGGACAGAAACUUGGCUGCUAUGUUUGGAUAGCUUCUAGAUGGCCAUUAGGGCUGAUCUCCUGGGGUUAAGGGUUACUUAGGAGGGUGAAGAGGCUCAAGAAAAAUCAGGGCCAAAGGAUUAAGGAAAAAUGCACUUGUUGUUCAAAGUGAAAUUUUGGGCCAGAAGAGAAAUUAUUUUCUGUAGAAAAAAUACUACAAAAAGUCAUGCAAUAUUUUUGCUUGGGAAGGUGGGCCAUGGUUCAAAGAAAAUUUAGGAAUUAUUUCAGAUUUUUAGGAGCAAUAAAAAUGGGGGUUGCUUUGGAGCACAAGUUUCUGAAAUGAGUUUCAAAGGAGAAAAUGAAUAUUUUCCUUUUAUGAAAAAUAUCCAUUUGAUUGUUUUGAGGAUUUUUCAGAGAACUAAGGUUGAAGGAGAAGUAGAUAGGUCACUUGGGUGAAAGUCAAGGGUAUGCCCAAGUGACAUGUCCAUUUGAAUUGAUUCCAAAUACUCAAAUCCAAGGCAAAGGCAAAACCAUGUCCGGAAAAAGAGAGAAGGCAAAAUCCAUGUGCGUGGCGGCACGCCAUGCAUGCUAGGCUAUUUUUCGGGGCCAGAUUUGGCCUAUUGGGUUGUUCUUUAGGCCAUAUAUAAAAAAUCUAAAUAAAAAUAAAAUAAAUAUAGGGGGUCGUGUCACGCCGGCCCGUUGGACCCAGCCUCCAGGCCGAGGCACGACCCCUGGCAUGCCGCGUGCCUGGCACGACCUGUUUAGCCCGUGUCAUGUUGUGUCUUGGCCAUGCGGGACGUGCUACCAGGCUGGCCCAGCUAUCCCGACCCGUUUGGCUAGCUUUGCAUGAGACAGUAGCUAAAUUGCCUAUGGUACAAGCAGUUCCUGUUUAUUCUAUGUCAUGUUUUAAACUUCCCAGGGUUUAUGUGAACAGUUGAACAUGUUGAUCUAGAAAUUUUGGUGGAGAAGUAAGGAGGGCCAUAGAAAACCCAACUGGGUUUCUUGGGAUACUCUGACAUGGCCCAAGUACAUGGGAGGUUUGGACUUCAAGGAUUUUGAUUUGUUCAAUUUGGCUUUGCUAGCAAAAGAGGCGUGGAGUGUAGUACAAAUGCCAGAUUCUCUCAGCACAAGAAUUUUAAAGGCUGCCUAUUUUCCUUGUUCAAUUCUUGAUGCAAACCUCGGUAACCAUCCUAGUCAGAUCUGGAGAGGGGCAUGAUGUUCUAAAAUAGGGAUUGAUUAGGAGAAUUGGCAACGGAGCAUCAACUAAUAUAUGGAGUGCCAAAUGGACGUACAUGGGAGGUUUGGACUUCAAGGAUUUUGAUUUGUUUAAUUUGGCUUUGCUAGCGAAAGAGGCGUGGAGUGUAGUACAAAUGCCAGAUUCUCUCAGCACAAGAAUUUUAAAGGCUGCCUAUUUUCCUUCUUGUUCAAUUCUUGAUGCAAAGCUCGGUAACCAUCCCAGUCAGAUCUGGAGAGGGGCAUGAUGUUCUAAAACAGGGAUUGAUUAGGAGAAUUGGCAACGGAGCAUCAACUAAUAUAUGGAGAGACAAAUGGACUCUGAGUGACGUGUUGAGUACCUUUGGAUGUAUGUCAGGCAAUCCUCCUAUAUAUGUGUCUGAACUCAUUGAUCAAACUUCAGCUAGAUGGGACAAGGAGAAAGUUGCCGAGGUUUGCCUACUGAUCGACGUGCCAGCCAUUCUCAGCAUACCUUUAUGUACAACAAAUAUUGAUCAUAGUUGGUCGUGGAAUUUUGAAAAAAAAGAAAAAAAUAUGUUCGAUCAGUCUAUAAGAUGAUGGUUGCAACCAAAAUGAGAAGAGAAGCAUGGCUAGAUGGUUCCACGGGUUCAUCAAGCAUUGAUAGGGAUGCAACAUCAUGGAAAUUGUUAUGGAAAACACCGGUAUCAUGAAAGAUACCCAUGUUUCUUUGCAGGCUAGCAAAGAACUCGUUACUCACUGAGAAUGUGAGAGCACACAUUAACAUGUCCACAACAAGCUGUUGCGCUUUGUGUGGAGCUGCAGAUUCUUGGAGAUAGUCGCUGCUAGAAUGCAUAAUGGUGAGAUGUGUAUGGGCUCUUGAUGAGGGUGAGCUAGCGGAGCACAUGUGCAAAACAACGGAACUGAAUGCAAAGCAAUUGCUGUUUUCGAUGAUCGACACUCUUUCACAUGAGGCUUUUGUCAAGCUAUUUGUGUCCCUAUGGUGAUAUGGUGGGCAAGGAGACAGGUGAUGCACGAGGAAAUAUAUCAACCCCCUUCGGCUACACAUUAUUUUAUAAACAGGUUCAUUGCUGGACUUGAGAUGGUACCACAAAAACAUACAAUGACUCAGACCAGGCCUAUGAUCACAUGACCCAAGGCACCACCGCAGGGUUUUGCAAAAAAUACAUGUCGACGCUAGCGUGGCAACAUCUAGCUUCGGUGGCUCGGCAGUUGCAGUGUGCAGGGACGCUGGAGGUCUCUAUCUCGGAAGUUCUGCCCUGGUAGUGGAGGGAAUGACUAAUGUUGCAGCAUUAGAAGGAGUACUCCAUUAGAAGCAAUCGCAUGUCGUGAGGCGUUAUCUCUAGCCGAAGAUUAGUUUUUUCCAGAAAUUUGUUGUUGCAUGGGAUUCAAAACAGGUGAUUAAUGAUAUCGAGAAAGGAACUGGUAAGUGGUAACAGUUAUGGAAACAUCAUCAAGGAGGUCAAGCAGCGAGCAACCAGUUUAAUUGUAUUUUCAGCUUUGAAGGCCGAGCGGCGAAUGUAGAUGUAGAUAGACUAGCUAAGUUUUCAAACUUUCUCGAGCAUGGGCCACUUGUGGUUGGGUCACCCCAUGAUGAAUUUUUUUUUUUGAACUGCAGGAUGAAUUUUGUAUUCCACUCCUUGUGGAUUUUGAUCAGUAAAACUAAGCUUUUACCCCUGAAAAAAGCUAAAUUGCCUAAAAAACGAGACAGUAGCUAAAUCUCAAAAAAAAAAGGAGACAGUUUGAAAGAAGAAAUCCUAAUCCCUUCACGUACGGUAGCGGCACGCGCGUUCCUAUGAAAUGCAUAACUUGGCUGUACUACCGCCUCCAUGACUAAAUCGGCCGUAGCGGGACGGAUCGAUGGCGACGAGCGCCGUACGCGCAGACAGCGUGCCGACGACGAUGGACCGGAUUGGCCGCGCCCCGUUGUCACGGGAAUAUUUCCCCUCGCCCUCACCAGUCCCAUCACUCAUCGCCAUCGGCAUGCAUGCAGAUGCAGCGAUCUCGCUGUCCCGUACUCCGGUCUCCCGCCCUCCCCUUUUUCUUUCUUCCCGGCGAGCGCAGCGCAGCCAAUGGAUCAGGAAAAGAGAGGCGGGCGGGAUGGGAUGGGAUGGAGUACACGCCAUGACGAGGCCAUCUCCACCGCGCGAUCCCAAAUGGACGUCUGUUUUGACCGGAUUUUGUCCCUUUAGGGCGCCGAUGGGUUCGCCCGUAUCCGCCUCUGUCCGUUGGAUCGUGUGUGCGUCCACCGCGCGGCCCCAUCCCAAAUCAUGUCCGCGUUGGACAUGAUUUAAAAAUAUAGCAAAACGUAAUAAAAAUGACUUAAAAAGUAAAUAAGCGCAGUUUAAUAAACUUAAAACUUAGUUAGGGGGUCACGGCCACAAAACGUCCCAGUUUCACGUCGAACUUGACAUAAUUAAUAAUAAACAUAAAAAAGAAAAUAAAAAAGGCCGCCGCCAGCGCGCUCCUGCCCGUGCCCGUGGAUGCCGUCGCCGUCGCCAUCUUCAGUGGCCGGCAUCGUCGUCGUCGCUGACGAGGUCCACGUAGGCCGACGGCGUCCAGAGGUGGGCUGGCGGUGCGUGGUAGACGGGGGCGGGCUGGACGGCGGGAGGUGCCUGCACGACCUCCUCCCGUGGCGACGCCUCCCGCUCCGCUGACCGCGGCGGCGUGGGCCGCCAGUUCACGCACCCCAGGGCAUCGGCCAUCUCUUCUGCAGUGCACGACCAGCCCCACCCCUGGCCCACCAGGCCCGGGUGGAACGCGGCCACCGGCUCCUCCUCCAUCGCCUCCUCCCUCCUCUCCUCCUCCUUGACGGCCACCAUUUGCAGCUCGGGGAAGGUGACCUCGCCGGCGGCAGAGAGUGCCAUCGCCUCCUCCAAGCCGUCCCAUUGGCGCUCGUCGUGGGUGUACAUGGAGUCAUCCAUGACAUGUUGCACGAGCCGGGCCUCCUCCUCCGCUGUCAUGCGAGGAGGUGGAGGGGGUGACGGAGACGGGGAAGGCGACGGCGUGGGCGUGAGGCCGCGCACCUCCCGACGUGGCCGCCGUGGCCCCGACACCAUGCCGGCGAAGUAGGACGCGCGGCGCGUGUCGUGCUCGUCCUGGAGCCAUGUGUCCCAGAGCACCGAGUCGGGGGCGUACCUGUCGUCGUAGAACAGGUCAUCGGGGAGGAGGCGGCGGCGGCACUCGAUCUCAUCGCGGCGCGCACGGCCGCUCGCCGGCACCGGCGGGAUCGACACACGGUCGGCGCCGAGGUGCCAUCCAUUGGGGAGGUGGACGUCGCUUCACGGGACCGGCGUCCUCGUAUCCCAGUACCGCCGGCACACGUCCGCCGCGAGGUAGUGCCGGUCGUGCGCGCCGGCGGGCCUAGGGUUGAUGGUGAAGGGGGCCGGCGCGGGGGCUCGACGGGAGGAGCGCGGCGGUGACGCGGGCUCCUCCUUCUUCACGGAGCCGUGGCGGCGCCCCGAGGAGGAGCCGGCCUCACGGUCGUGCUCCCCCUUGCGGUUCCAGAAGCCCAUGGCUUCGAGGUGGCCGGCCGGCGAGCUCGAGGACAAUGGAGGGCUAGGGUUCGGCGCUGUCGGGUUUCGAGGAGGCCGCGGGGUGGCGUGGGGCAGUGUGGACGACGACCGGUCCACGGUUCCCACUUAAAGAAGGACGGCGACCCUUCGAUGUGCGGAUGACAGGUGGGGCCGCCCGCUCGUGCGCACUGAUGUGGGCGGGUGGGAGGUAGGUGACCGCCUGCCACGCGGACCCGACGCGGACGAGGCGCGCGUCCGUUUGGUGUCCGCCGCGACCCAAACCCGGCGCAAGUUUGCGCCCGAAAUGGGUCGGCCCGGACACAAAACGGACAAGAUGGGUCCGGGCCGUCGCGCACUGGGCCGCCUUGUUUGUCCUUUUUAUUCCAAACGGACGGGGCCGGACAGGAUAGGGUCACGCGGUGGAGUUGGCCUGACUGCCGGGUCAAACGUUCGUCAGUUAGGUGGACCACCAACCAAACCCCACGCGCACGCGGCGCCACUCCCCGGAGUCUCCCCGCUGCACUCGCUCGCUUGGAUGGAUCACCUUGCGCCGCGGCCACAAGGGAGCCGGACAAGAAGUUGAUGCACCACUAGGACUAGCUAGUGUCGGCUUGCAAGCACAAGAGCUUCUCCCGCUCCUGCCUUCUAGGCUUUUUGUUGCUCCGCUGAAAGGUGAGGUCACUUGUCAUCUACAGCCCGGGCUACCGAUAGAUCGGGGAACGAGUGCGCGUGGAAGGCAGGAAGUCAAUGUGGCGCCAGGCCAAAGCCCUCAACUUUUUCAGCAAAGGUAGAGCUAACUACUACAAUGAAUCCACCCGACGCAUAUUACACCGGCCAGAGGAUCGUCAAAAUAAUGCUCGUGAAAACAAAAUGAGAUUAGAUGCAGAAGUCGCACAUGCAUGAUGCACACAAAGAAAUUUCAACUCUCGUGGAGAAACACACGCGUUCGGAACAGAUUUCUACAACCUACACCAAGUGUAAAGUGUAAACGCUAGCGCAAGCUAGCUAUAGCUGUACAUGGAUCGAAGUCUAGGCUAUGCGAUGCCCUAGGACGGACGCCCGUUUCUACCAUUGGCAACGGGCGAGCAGAGCAGCAUCUCUGGAUACGUGAUCCUACAUACAAAGUCAAAGCCGGGCGGCAGCUCAAGGAGAAGAACAUGUGAAGAGACAGCAGCAGUAUCUCGAUCGUACCCAUUAAACAAACCCUAAGCCUUAACUAGUAAUCAAUGGCGAUCCACGUUUCGUGCUGCGUAUGCUACGUACGGCGGCUUUCUAUAUUUCUCGUCAUACGCACACUUGGUCGGAGCGAGGCUGUGAAUCCCGACGACGGCAAAUUCCUGGGUGCUCGCGUCGCGUGCUUGCCCCGCCCCGCCCGUGUAUUUGUCCUGUCCACCACCUGCACAUCGCUACAAUUCUGGGCUAGCAGGAGUAGUAUUUUUUGGAUAUUUUCGAUCGGGAAUCAAAUUAGGAGGCCUUACACGCAAGAGGAAGCAAGAUCAAUUUGGGUAAGUUAAGUGGCUUGACCGGUCAAAAAGAUCAUACCACAUGCAUGCCUUGCCUGCUACAGGGGAGAGGCGCGAAAAGGAAGCCAUGAAACAGUGGUGAGUCGUGGUGGAUGCCAAAAGGGUUAUGGACAAGGCCACAAGGGAUGUGAUCGAUGCAGCAAAAACGUACGCCAGGGGAGACAAAUACUUAUAUUCCGAGCAGUGGUUGUUAGGGAACAAGCAAGUACAAAUAGUAGUGUAUGUACAAGAAAAGCUAGCUGUAUAACACCAUCAUACUGAUACAGAAAACAGCAUAAUGAAAAGAGACAAAAAAUAAAGUUUAAUAUAAAACUCUUAAGAGGUGACAAAAAAUGAGAACAAGUUUAUGUCAGCUACAAAUAAUGAAUGAUUCUGGCUCCUACUGAAGGAAAAACUAUUCUCAAGUCCUCAACAGCUAGUGCUUCCUGCUCAAUCAUACAAGUUGAGUGACUUGAGUCCCCAGCAGAGAACAAAGCGCAAGCGCAGCUAGCUGCAGGGGCUGGUGGUCCAUUGGUGAGCAGUGAAGAGCCUCAAGCCUACACGCUAAAGAAGGAAAAGGCACCUAAAAGACAAAAGCUACUGCGUGCAUAAUGGUUGCUCAAUGAUUCCUGCAAGGACGAACAUCUCCAGUUUGCACUGUAAAGCAAAUCUAUUCAUGAUCGACUGCCCUGCAGAUCCUCUAUGAUUACUGACAACUAAUUGAGAUCAAAUGAGAUGGACAAACCAGUAGUAUAGAUUAUGUAUCUAUCUGCAUUGCAUUCCAAUAUUAUAUGACAAGAGAAGAGAGACACGAUUCACGUUCUCUUAGAUAACAUAGCUCAUCUUUUCAGGAAGACUAAAUCGCAAAUGCAAAUGCAAGGGUUAGAGUUGAAAGCACUGGCUGUAACAUACAAACACUGCACGUAGCUAGUUAAUCUUCAUGCAUGCUAAAGGAUGAAUUUAAUUACACAUAGUUAUAUAGAAUCUGAAUGGCCAUAUCGAUCUCUCGAUGAUAUAUAACAUCGAUGGAUCGGAUGGCCUUAAAAUUCGCAACGAAACGAGAUACAAAUAGUCUGAAGGUCGAACGAAGCGACCUAGAGCAGCGAGAACAAGGACAGCAAUUAGCAAGGAGAGGAAAGCGGAAACAAGUCGGAACUGAGGGAAAAAAAUUGCCUGGCUUUCCCGCAUGCCAAUACAGAACUCUCCACCAUUUUUCUGAGCUAAGCUUGCAUGGAUGCCUCCAUGCCUUUGCCCUGCGGAAGAACCGAGACGACGACGGAGACGAAGACGAAGACGGGGACGAAGAGGUCACCGGAGCGGCGUCCGCGGCAUGCGGAACGACCAGCCAUGGUGGAGAGGGGAUGGCGGGGGCUUGAAGGGGAUGGUGGCAUUGACAUCCUCUUCGUCCUUCUUCAUGUCCCGCGAUGAGCUGAGCUGCUAGCUAGUAGCACAAACAAAACACAAGCGUAAGAGAGAGGGAAGAGGGGCAGGUUCCUUUGGGCUACUAUAUGCAAAACGCAGAGGAUUAGAAUAGCAGAGGUUUUUAAAC